This 61314-nucleotide long non-coding RNA is filed under the name Eucalyptus grandis. RNAcentral's name for it is "long non-coding RNA (EGRA_LNC000835)". Lineage: Eukaryota; Viridiplantae; Streptophyta; Magnoliopsida; Myrtales; Myrtaceae. The record is from RNAcentral.
CCUUUUCGUUUGUUUAUGUACAUCUUUUUGUGCAGUAAGAAGGCAUCCUCUCUUCAUUUUUGCCUAUCAGGCUUCCAUGGAGAAAGGACAAAGUCAGAGUAAGGCAAACAAAAGGAUGCACCGUUUCAAUUUAGGCCGUCCCUUUGCGGUAUUCAAUCAUCUCAAGAAGAAGAAAAACGGUGCAGAGAAAGAGAGCAUUGAGGGAGCAUCCAUUUCUUCCUUUAUCUCUUCGAUACCCACAGGAGGCAGUGAUCAAUACGACAUAUUCUUGAGCUUUCGAGGCUUGGACACCCGCAAGGGAUUCACCGAUCACCUCUACCGCAGUCUAAUCAAUGUAGGGACCGUACCAAUUUCCGUGUUCAAGGACGAUAAUAGCCUCGAAAUUGGCAAGGAUUUUGAUUCAGAGAUUCUUGAUAUCAUCACGCAGUCUAAGAUUUCAAUUCCCAUUAUUUCCGAAAAUUAUGCUUCGAGCAAAUGGUGCCUCCGUGAGCUAGUUCGUAUCAUGGACUGCAAGAAGAGCAUGCCUCACAUGGUGUUGCCCAUUUUUUACAAAGUGAGCCCAUCCGAUGUGCGGUAUCUAAAGGGAAAAUUUGGGGAGGCCUUCCAUAUGCGUAAGAAGCGUUUUGAUGAGAAGGAUAUUCAGGAAGGGAGACAAGCCCUUACAGAAGUGAGUUACUUAAAUGGAUGGGAAUCUGAAAAAUUUUCUAAUGGGUACUUCUCUUCCACCUACACUUUUAUUUUUCGUAAGUUUUUUUAUUCAGCAAAACUGAUGUGAUAUGGAUGAACUGCUUUCACUACAAGCUCACAAAACAUCCCAGUGCUAAUGAAUAACCAUAAUGGCCCAAAGACUACAAACCCUUGUACUCUGCUAUUUUUCCCCUGCAAACUACACCACCAACAACUAAAACCUUAGGAUCCCAUACUCAGCCUUCCAAACCUUGAUCGACCCCAGAUAAAUUGACCUCCUAUUGCCAACAGGUGGCUCGGUUGAUGUGAAUGGGACACUUUACAUUGACCAUGUCAUAGGUUAAACUUCCGCUACUUCCAGUAACCACCAUGGGUAGGUGAUUAUAAAUUAAUUACAAGUUCCCAUUUAGGGCCCUCGGAUACGCUGGCCUCGGAGGGAUGGCCUCCCCUCCUCCUAAGUCCUAAACUUUUUGUAAUCAAAAUAAUCGACCUCCUAUCCUUCAAUUAGCAGCGACCAUAGGCCUUAUAACAAACAGUUUACUUCUAAAGAUUCUCAAUUUGGUCGGUGCAACACCUUAUCUUAUUUCAAUAAGAUCUAUCUAUUGGUAGAAAAAGAAGGAGAAAUUGAAAUGACUACUACACCAUCAUCCUUCAUUGUUAUUCAUAAAACCGAAACAUUUUGCAUGUUAAUUGGUUCCAUCCAUCCUUCACAUAUAUGUGGGUGUCCUUUGAAGAGAUUACGUGAAACUACGAAAUUAUGAUGAGUUAUUGUUGUUUGACAGGCAUGAAGGAGAAUUAGUGGAAGAAGUCAUCAAAACUAUUCUGAGCAAGUUGAGACAUAAUUUUCAGCUUGAUGUUCCUAAGCAUUUAGUUGGAGUUGGCGAUAUAAUUAGGAAUUGGGUUGAUACUCCUGCCAAUCAUGCUCGAAUGAUUGGAAUAUAUGGCAUGGGCGGGAUCGGUAAAACAACUCUUGCCAAGGUCAUCUACAAUGAGCUGUUGAAUGACUUUUUGCAUCGUAGCUUCCUUCCAGAUAUACGAGAGACAGCUCACCACAACGGUAUUCUUUAUUUACAAAAUCUACUAAUUAAGGAAAUACUACCCAAUGAACAUCAAGUUUGCAAAGUUGAUGAUGGAAUUAGUGUGAUCAAAUCUAGAUUCAAAGGAAAAAGGGUUCUCAUUCUUCUAGAUGAUGUUGAUCAUCAAGAUCAACUAAAUGCUUUGGCUAGAGAACGUGAUUGGUUUUCGACAGGAAGUAUCAUCAUUGUUACGACUAGAUAUGAAGCUGUUCUUGAUCAACCUGAAUUCCAAGCAGACUACAAGUAUGAACUGAGUGAAUUAGAUGAGGUGCAUUCUUUGCUUUUAUUUAAAAGGCAUGCAUUUCACAUGGGCCAUUGUUCAAAGGACUUUGAGGGUAUCUCACGUGAUAUCUUAUCCACCAUGGGCGGGCUUCCCCUAGCUAUCAAGGUCAUAGGUUCAUACUUGUAUGGGAAAACAAAUGGAAAAGUAUGGCAAGAUAUACUGAAGAAAUUAAGAAACGAACCGGCUAAAGACGUCCAAAAGAUAUUGAUGAUAAGUUAUGAUGCAUUGGAACCUGAACAUAAGAAUAUUUUUCUCGAUAUUGCUUGCUUCUUUAUCGGCGAAGAUAGCAAAUUCGCCAUUUACACGUGGGAGGAUUUUUAUCCAUAUCAAGGAAUUGAAGAGUUGAAGUUGAGGUGCUUAAUUAAAAUUGGAGAUCAUGGUGAGUUUAGGAUGCAUGAUCAACUAAGAGAUCUUGGAAGGAGCAUCUUUUUCCAAGGACAAUCGCUUGAAAGAUGUCUGAAACAAUGGGUUGACCAAGAAGGCUUAACAGUGAAACCGGAACGUGGGGUAAGAUAUGGCACUCCUUUUUUUCUUUCCCUCUCUCUCAUAAUUUCAUGUUUAAUUUGAUCUAUUCUACUAUUUUACCUAGUGUGAGCAGAUGCUCCUACUUUUUAGGAAAAAGUCUAUUUAUAUGUCCAUUCAUGUCCAUCAUACAUGAAUUGUGGCCGUAAUUGGAUUAUAUGUGUGCCAAUGAUUAAAAAGUUACACUAUAUAAUUCAAAUUCAUUUGCAUAAAGUACAUUAGUCAAAAAUUUAAUAUACAAUCGAUUCUUUAACUAUGAUUCUAUAGUAAAAAUCUCAUUCACUAAAAGCAUGCAAUUUUAUAUCUAGUUGAAAAUAUUGAUAGUUUGAAAGACUAAUAAUUAAUAAAGAUGAAGCAUAUACAUCAUAGAUCAUAUAAAUAAAUAUUGUUUUUAUUCAAAACAAUAAUGGACAAUAUGUGCCAAUUAUAAUAACUAAUAAUUAAGCAAAUCAGUAACAUUAAAGAAAAAUAUCACAUUUACAACGGGUGCUUUCUUUCUAUUAUAGUCGAAUGUAAAGAAAAAUAUCAAUGUUUGGUAUGCUUUUUCUUUUUUUUCCAUUUUGAUUCAAAAGUACCUGUCCCUCUACUAGUUAUAUCUAUCUCUUUUCAUUCUUCUUUCCUCUUAAUAGAUAUGAUGGCAAAGAAUCUCCUUAAUAAAUAUAUUGGGAGAACCUUACUAUCGUUGUAUCACGUGGACCUUGCUCAUCUUAUGGAUUAGGUUAGGUGUUUUUUUUUUGGUCCGUUAGGUUAGGUGUUUGACAAUUAAUGGAUUUCCUUAUUCUCCCUUCUUUGCUUCUUUCAUUUCUGUUUUCUUUUUCUUUCGCUUUUCUUGAUAAACAUUUCUUUCCUCGCCAAGCUCUUUUAUAAUAUUUAUAUUUUUGGGACAAUGCCCUUUUGUGCCAAUAGCCACUAGACUAACUUGACUAUUUAGAGGAAAUGUCGUGCUUCUUAUUAAUAUAUUGAUACCUUUUUCUUUACUAUAUACGAUUUUCAGCAUGAAAGUAAGGUCAGUUUUCACUUAGCUUGGUUUGAUAUGCAGGCACGCUAUUGUUUGAAAAACUACGAUACAUACUUUCAAUGGCCUCGUGGCUGUUCCCCUGCAUACACAGUGAACAAUUUAAAACUUACCGAGCUCAGUUCCUUCAAUUGUGCUGGAAGGCUUUAAGUGGAGACUUUAAUGAACUAUUUUCUGAAUUANNNNNNNNNNNNNNNNNNNNNNNNNNNNNNNNNNNNNNNNNNNNNNNNNNNNNNNNNNNNNNNNNNNNNNNNNNNNNNNNNNNNNNNNNNNNNNNNNNNNGAAAAAAGACAUCCUUUGUGAUCUUGCUUUGUUUUGUCUGUCCAUUAAAUUCCUUUUUUGACAUCUUAUCCUCCUUUAUAUAGGUGGCAAAGCGGCUAAAAGUUCUCAACCUUUCAUAUAGCCAGGUUUUAAGAUGUACUCCUGAUUUCUCGACUUUCACAAAGUUGGAGAUUCUAAUCUUGGAUGAAUGUUGCAAACUGGAGCAAGUCCACCCUUCUAUUGGCCAAGUCAAGAGACUUGUUUCCUUGUACUUGAGGAAUUGUCUCAAUCUCAAAGAGCUACCAGAGGAAGUGGGUGAAUUGCGAGAACUAAAAGAACUUCUUUUAGAUGACACUGGCAUUACAAAAAUUCCUAUGUCAAUUGGUUCUUUGAAGAAGUUGCAAAAGUUGAGUGUCCCACAUUGUUUGUCAUUGGUUGAAAUCCCUCUCUCAAUCAGUAAUCUUUCUUCUCUCGAACACCUUGACCUAAGUAGUUAUUCACCAUUGAGUGAGAUCUCUAGGUCAAAUAGGAAUCUUUCUUCUCUUGAAUGCUUUAACCUCCUUAGCUCAAUCGAGAAUCUUUCUUCUCUUCAACACCUCAACCUCUCUCAAUAUUCGUCAUUGAGAGACAUCCCUAGUUCAAUUGGAAAUCUUUCUUCUCUCCAACACCUCAACCUUUCUCAAUGUUUGUCAUUGAGAGACAUCCCUAGCUCAGUUGGGAAUCUUUCUUCUCCCGAAUGCUUUAACCUCCUUAGUUCAGUUGGGAAUCUUUCUUCUCCCGAAUGCUUUAACCUCCUUAGCUCAAUUGGGAAUCUUUCUUCUCUUCGACACCUCAACCUCUCUCAAUGUUCGUCAUUGAGAGACAUCCCUAGUUCAAUUGGAAAUCUUUCUUCUCUCCAACACCUUAACCUUUCUCAAUGUUCGUCAUUGAGAGACAUCCCUAGCUCAGUUGGGAAUCUUUCUUCUCUCUUACACCUUAACCUCUCUCAUUGUUCCUCAUUGAGAGAAAUCCCUAACUCAAUUGGGAAUCUUUCUUCUCUCCAAUACCUUAAUCUCUCUCAUUGUUCGUCACUAAGAGAAAUCCCUACCUCAAUUGGGGAUUUACACAAAUUGCAACAUCUGAACAUUGAUAAUCCUUUGAUUAAAGAGAUCUCCGAUGCCAUUGGAAGGUUUAAAGAACUGCGGAGGAUAAUUAUUAUAUCCCAUGAUAGUCGGGGAAUUGGAUCUGUCUAUCGCUCUCGUUCGCUUAGUAAAAUCAUUGACAUGUCCUUAUCUACUCUACCCGAUUGCAAGGAUAAAUCUUUUCUUCAGAACCUCCUUUCCCAACACUUUAAGGUGCUUAGAUUGAUGCCAAAGCAUCCUUUUGGUUUAACAUAUCUUCAAUACAAUUUCGCAAUUCCCAAAUUCCUACAACUUUCUUGUCUAAUCGACCUAGAAGAACUUCAUCUUUAUGCAUGCGAUCAACUUGAGAGCAUCCAGGGGCUUCCUUCAAGGCUCUUGAAAUUUUGUGUUGACUCAUGUCCAAACCUGAUAUUACCUGAGAUUGGCAGAUUCAAGUACUUGGAAGAGUUGUCGAUAAGAAGCUGCAGUUUCAUUAAAAGAAUGGACCUGUCACAAUGGAAUCGCUUGAAAGAAUUGGACAUUCAGGGUUGCGAUAAUCUAGUUGAAAUUCAAGGCCAUGGAGAAUUAGAGUUCUUGGAGACGAUAAAUAUAUAUAGCUGCAUGUCAAUUGAAAGGUUGAUCCUUCCGAAAUUACAGUGUUUGAAGCGACUACAUGCUUGCUCUUGCAACAAUCUAGUUGAAAUACGAGGUCUUGAUAAGGCAGAGUUGUUAGAGGCAUUAGAUAUUUCCAAUUGUUGGUCCAUUGAAAGAUUACCUAAAUUAGGAUGCUUUGCGACCUUGAAAGAGUUGAACAUUAAUGGGUGUCACCAUCUACAUGGUGUUGAGAGUCUCGAGAGAUUCUCAUCUUGCCGAAGUAUAUUUAUUAAGGAUUGCAAAAACCUAGAAAAACUACCAAACUUGUCGAAAUUUGAAAGUUUAGAGAGUUUCAUAAUCUUGGGUUUAAUCCGGCUUAGGGAGAUUCCUGGGAUUGGGGAAUCAAGAUCGCUAACAAAAGUAUCAAUCAUAAAAUGUCAAUCCUUGGAGACUUUGCCAGAUUUGUCGGGAUGUGAGAAGUUACGAUAUGUAAGGGUAGUAACAUGUGACAAACUUACUCAACUUUGGGGACUUGAAAAGUUGGAUUUGACUCUUUUGGAAAUUUAUGGGUGCCAGCAUGUACCAGAAUUAUUUAAAACAUGCAACGGGAGAUAUGAAUAUGAAUGCUUUUGUAUUCCCGAGGUAAUUAAAUUGCAGUGAUAAUAAUGUGAUGAACUUUAUACCAAUAUUACAAGAGCAGGCUAGUCAUGUUUCCUUGACAGAGGUAAAUAAGCAGCAAACUACCAUUUUUCUUUGAGUUUCAUGACCUAUUUUUCAUCAUUAUCUUCUUUUGACAAUAAGGUUUUCCUUGACAGGGUUUUGUUCUUCCUAAGUUCCUAGACUUAAUAACUUGAAGGAAUGGUGGAGUUGGUCGUAGAAGCUGACAUGAUGCUUCAGCCAAGAUCAAAAUUUAGAUCCAAUGGUGCUUCCUCGUUCAUUAGAAGGCAUUGGUCAUUUGGUAAGAUUCUUCAUCCUUUAACAACUAGCAUGAGUGAAUAGAGUAAUACUUUUGUCAAGGAUAUAUCCUUUAAGAAUUAUUUGCUUGACACUACGUAUCUCAGCGAUAUGGAUUUGCCUAAAUCUUUUGUUGUAAAUUCCAUGACAACAAUCUUUUUUUAGCUAUCCUUCCAUUGGCAACUUUUGUAGACAGAUUGGCGGCUUGUGAGGCAACAAAUGAAAAUAUCGACAUAUGUAAAAUAAUUACUUAGCGAUUUACAGCUCCCCUCUCAAUAAAACAGGUAUUUCAAUUUUUUAUCUAGAGGGCAACGAUCUUCCGCUACUCAAUAUUGUAAACUGCACCCAGAUCCGCUUUUUCACUCUGUCUUAAACUAGUAUUUCCUUUAACAAAUCCUUGUUUGAACUCAUUUUGUCAGCUCUUCAACAGGUCAAAUUUGACCGAUGGUAGUUAUACUGUUAAGAGCAAACACCUCUCGAUUUUUCGUGAUAAUAGGAAAGCCUGUCAAGGCUCUUCUCAUUCGCUUGAGCAUGAAUUCCCAGUAAGGAAAAGAAACUGAGCUAAAAUAACAAUCAAAUUUCAAGUUUUUCUGGUGGAUGAUGGAAAAGGAAAUGAAAAGUAAUUUUGGUUAGUCUGUUUCGUAAAUGAUUGGAGACAGGCUCUCUAUAACCGAUUGUCAUACUGCCGUUUGAUGAUCAAGCAAGGCAAACUGGUGCUGCUUUUGGGACAAACCUGGCUUUCUGUUUAAUGAUCAAGGCUUACGUUUGGACUUUGAUUCGAAGAGCCGUACUGAUGACCUUUUGCAUAAUUAGGAUGAUUUAUUUGCCCGUUUUAUAAAACAAGUUGGGCAAGGAGCUUAAGAUUUUGUUAAUUCGUUUGCACGCUGAUUGAUCCUGUUGUUGUUGUGGAAUCAUUUUAUCACAUGAUUAAUCUGGGUUUGGCUAACUUGGCUGAGGAAAUUCAAAUUCCGUACCAGAGAACGAUCAAAAUGAGGAAGAGGAAUUUUGCCGAGGAAUCAUCAACAGUAGCUGAAGGCUUUUGUGCCCACCUUGAAGAGGCUUACGGGCCAACUGAAGUGUAUUGGUAAAAAAAUUUAUGCCUGUGAAGAUCAAAGUACUUGAUCUGGUCUCAACAGCAUGUACUUGAAAAGUUGGGAUUGUAUUUUUUUUCAAUUGAAUCUGCUUUUUGUAUGCUCAUUAGGUUCUACCUCUAUUAAUUAAAUACACUUGCUGAUUUUUCUGCAUGUUACCCUGAUGCAGAGUUCUUUGAUGCGCCUGCGUUCUAAUGAUAUCAUUCCCAAACUCAAUCAGGCUUUGCAAAUAGAGGUAGCACUGCCAAUCCUCCCAUAACUGUGAGAGAGUAAGUUGUGUGCUUAUACUUAAUUGAAUGUGCUUUUUUGUAAGCUUGUUAGGCUCUGCCUCUCUGCUAAUCAAAUACGUACUUGCUGAUUUUCUGCAUGUUACCUUGAUGCAGAGUUGUUGGAUGCGGUUGCUUCUAAUAAUAUCAUUCCUGAACUUAAUGGGGCUCUGCAGAGGAAGGUAUGUAGUGCCAGUCAUACCAUAACGAUGAAAGAUUAACUUGUGUGCUUUAAACUGUAUUCAAUGUGCUUUUUUUAUGCUCGUUAGGUUCCACCUCUCUGUUAAUAAAGUACGUACCUGCUAAUUUUUCUGCAGGUUACCCCGAUGCAGAGUUGUUUGGUAAAAGCUUAAAGAAGAAGAAGGAAGAAGAAGAGAAGCUCUCUUGUGCCAAACAGCAUUUUCUGGUUGUGUUCGAUGAAGUUAUUCGAAAGUCCUUGCUCAUGAAAUUUUACGGUCUGAUCUCACUUUCUAGCCAAAACAGCACUUCUCACUAUACGUGUUCAAUUAAUUUUAUAGAAGCCAUUAGUGAUGACCCAGGAAAAAGGAAAUGAAGCGGAACGUCAAGAAGGUGGUAUUUGCGCCAUUUUCCUUAUUUCCUAGUUAGUAAUGCUAUUGGAAGAGAAUGUCUUCAAGGUUCAGGCAUAACAGAAGGAUUGGUGAGGAUUGCAGUUACCUUUGCUCCUAGGACCAUCUCAUGUGGACUCUAAUGCCACCUCCUCUGUGGUAUACCGGUAUGAUGACUAGUUCAUGAAAUAUUUGAUAUAAUGCCAACGUGCUAAUUUCCAAUUCCGCUCUGUUUAUGCAACAGUAUAAGCUAGCACAUGUUCAUUUUUCUCUCAUAUAAGCAGCAUCACAAAGUCUGGACUUCCAAUUCCCAAGGAGAUAAAGGUUUGUCUUUUUUUUUUUGCAGGGGUUUAUAUCAAUAAAUAGUCAAUACGAGACACCAAGGAUCCAAGCAAUAACUGCCGAUGCUCUUUGCAUUAACUGCCGAUGAUCGUGGAGUACGUGAUCACAUCUGGCUCCCCGCCUUCUUCUUACAAAUUCUUCAGCAAUGGAACGGAUCUCCUGGCAUGUGGUUAUAUCUACCUCAUCAAAGUGUUAAAGCUCACAGUAGUUGGUUCUUGUUACGAUAGGGCGAGCGAUCGAACAAAAUAUAGACGGAAGAAAAAAUAAAUCGGACACCGGAUUUACGUAGUUCAGUCGUAAAGACCUACGUCCACGGGGAGAGCAGCAGUGAAUUUCACUAUAAAUCAAGCGAUACAAGGAGAUUACACACUCAAGUCACUCAAACACUCUCUCGAUGUUUCUCAAGCCCCAAUUACACCCAAUAACGCACCCAGUGUUUAGCUCCGAAAUUCCUCAAAAAUAAUCUCUCAAUUUCACGAAGGAAUUACAUGCAAAUCUUACCUUAAAAUUUAAUCGACUACAAAUACUAAACUUCUUGGAUGUAAUUGCACGAAUGAAAAACAACAAGCCCACUUUCAAGCACUCGAUAUUUGGUGCUUCAAGUUUACUUGCAUCAACAACGGCGGAACAAGCACUCACGCGGCGCUUCAAGAUGUGGCUUCGCUCAACGAUGGUAUGUGGCUUCGUGCGGCAGCAACUCACCGAAAAGAAGAAACUCUCUUUCGCGGCUCCCCUCUGCGACUUCUCUUUUUCGUAAAGGGCUUCGGCAGCUCUUUUAUACGUGUGCCCAUGAGGUCAAAACUUUGACCAUGAGCCCACCUUCGUUUCCUUUUCUUUCACGCGUGCAGAGGACUCCUUCACGCCAAGACUCACGAAUUGAUUUCCUUCAAUUCGGAAUCCUCAGGCUUUGCAGCAAAGAACUUUGCUUCUUUAUUUUAAUAUUAUAUUUUCUCUUUUAGUCCAGUAACUCCUUCGCGAGUCCAUCAAAUUUCGCGUUUUAGCAAACGCUUAAACUCGAGUCAUAUUUAACAGUUCUAGUGCAAGUUUGACUAUUUAACAUCAAAACUGAGAAACCGAGAUCGGACCUCUUCAAUUGGCGGAGGUGAUUCAUCAAAAUGCUGCGAGUAAAAACACUGGGCGAAGUUCCUUCCAAACCCAUCCUCUCGGUCAUGUCAAUGGUGAUGGCGCAAUGACUAUUUUACUAAAGACACGUUAGAUAGAAAUUAUUACUAUGAAAACAUAGAAUAACUUCAAAAGCACCGCUGUUCCUAGGAGAAGACAACGUCAAGACCCAUUCUAAGGCACCAAUUCAGCCACAGCUCCAUGAAAUGGCAAAACCCAACAACGUUCCCACGCCGCGGCUACCUAUAACCGUCGCGGGCACAGUAAAAGAACGAGUCUUUUCCAUCUGUUUUCCCGCUUCCCCUCUAGGAGAAGACAGUGUCAAGACCCAUUCUAAGACACCAAUUCAGCCACAGCUCCAUGAAACAGCAAGACCAAACAACGUUCCCACGCCGCGACUACAUAUAACCGUUACGGGCACAGUUAAAAAACGAGUCUUUUCCAUUCAUUUUCAUGUUUCCCCUACUGCCCAUAUAUCGCACCAUCCGAACUGCCAGUACCUCGAAAGCUGCUGUAACAAACAUCGACGCCCGGGAUCGGGCGCGCCAUGUAGUAGUCGAUGGACACGAUCCGGACGCUGAAAAUCAUGGGGUCCUUCUCCGGCGCCGACGCCGCUGUACUGGGCUGCGAACCUUCUUCCUCCUUCGGGAGUGGCGGCUCCUCCAUCUGUGGAAACCUUCCCACGACCCUCGCUGGGGAAAAGUGCCGGAACCCAGGGCACGGUUAGCCCGAAAGUCGAUUGCCGGCGAGAGCUCGGAGGCGCUGGCUGGUGUAUAACCGACCGCGCAAAAGUCGAGUGUCUUCUCCAAGCUUUUCUCCAAUUUUUUCCCUCUCGCUUGUUCUCGUGCAGUGCAGUAACGGAACCCCAGAAUAGGAAAAUGGACCGAGAGAAGUCUUUGGGACGAUGAAUUAUUUUAAGUUACCUCGGAACGGUUAUUUUACUACUGUCACAUAUCAUGAUAAAUUCCGACCAAAAAAAAAAUUUAAUGAUGGAUUCGGUCAAAAAAAUAUUUGAUGAUAGAUUAAAAAUUGGCUUUAAUCUAUCUUAUUAAUUGGUUUUAUAUACUAAGUAAAUGCUAACAACAAUGUUCAAUUAUAGAUAUUAGCUAUUAAUAACUCAGCAAUCAAAUUACAAUUUCAUAACUUUCUAAUAGUUUAAAAAAAUAAGCGUAUUGAAAAUAUUAAAACUUUCAAAAAGUACAAUCAAAUUAGAAAAUUUAUCAUAAAUAUACAAUUGAGUUUUAAAGUUUUAAAAAAAUACAAUCAAGUUUUAAAACAGAUUAAUGACUUUAAUAUGAAUUAAAAUUUGUGUACCAAUUGAAUCAAAACUAGUUCAUAACUUAAUUAAAGAAAAAUUUGUGUAUCACAUGAAUUAGGAUCUGUAAGUUCAUAAAUGAAUUAAUGACUUUAACAUGUUGACAACUUGUACGACUAAAUAUUUAUAAAUUAUUAAAAUGAACAAUAAUUUUGGAACAAUCAAACAAACCGCAAUAUUUUUCGUGAAAGUUUGAGUAUAAACAAGUCACAAGCCAAAUACAUCGCCGAUCUUUUUUUACAAACUGUUGCUAAACAAUAUUUAUGAACUUACUGAUACGGAACACCAGAACAAUCCUGGUCAGUGGUGAUGCUCCCGAAUUACAGACCUUCAAGAGGUUUGUCCAACAACAAUAGUCAUCAAAUUCAAAAGAUCUAUCCACCCAUAGCUACAUCUACAAGACCAGCUGAAAGUUUAUCAACACCUCGACCAUUCGCUAAAACAUUAGUCAAUCCACACAAAUUACUCCGUAAAUAUAUUAGUCAGUCCACGCAUAAAUAAAUAAUAUGCUCCAUUCCUUUGCAAAAGGCUAAAAAUAUAUGUACGUUGAUCACUUGAUCAGAGAAUCAUACAAUAGCCACCACCCUUUUCCUUUUGGACACUAUAUUUACCAUGAAUUGCAAAUUACAAAUGCAUUAUACAAGGUUCUCUCCACAGAGCUCGUUUGAUUCGGCUUUGGGGAAAUGCCAUUGAGAGAAUGCAAAUACCUUUGAGGUAAAUGGGCUUUUGGAAAUAUUAGACCAUUUGGUAAAUUAUAACAUUGAAAUGCAACUUAGCAUAAACACCGUUUGGCAAAAUUCACAUUUAUAAUUAGCUUUUGUUAUUUAUUUUUUUUUUAAGUCUGAAAUCAAAUUCCGACGGCCGGCCACUGCCGACCAACCGUUGGCCACCGUCGGACUGCCAGAUCUGGCCUCGCUUGGUCGCCUGGCUCGCGCGAGACUAGGCAACGCCGGCUGAGGUCCGCACGACCUCAAGCAGUGUCGCCUGGUCGCGCACAACCUCAAGCCACCUCGCCUGAGGUUGUGCGACCUUAGGCGAGGCUUCCCAGCAGCCAAAUCUGGCCGCUCGCAACUGAGUGCCGCCCACCGCAAAGAAGAAGACGAACGGCAGAGGACACGAUGAACAGUGACCCUGUGAACAGUAAAAUCGCAUCUCCGGAAUGCCCAAUGCUCAAAGCUGGUCCUCCCCGGCAUUUGGCUUUCGGCAUUUAAAAUGCCCGCAUUUCACAAAUGAGCAUUCAAAAGCCCUUGCCAAACACCCAAAAUUUCCUCCAAGGGGGAAUGCCCAACCAAACACCCCCAUAGUGAUGGGAAAACAAGCCAAUCAACGCUUGGAGUUGCCCCAAGAAUGCUAGAUGCGGCUUGGUGAAAUUGAAGAUUCACACACAUGGAGAUAUAGGUUCAAUUCCAGUCCCGUGCUUCAAGCUGCCAUCACCAUUCAUAUCACCUCAUUAAAGCAGCCAUAAUGUUGCCUAACCAUUUCAUUUAGGCCAAUCCCACUUGUCUCUCCCACCUAAGGUCUUCGGAGAAUUUCGAGAGUGCAGCCCUUGGGUCACCAUCAGAGAUAGACAAGUAGUACUGAGCAGUCCCAUCAUCAACCUGCAUGCUCCUCCUAAGGGAGUCGAGUAUUCUCUUCUUCCCUCGUUCAGAGGUUGUCCUCUUUAGCAAAGAACUUAUCUCUAUGUCCUGGACGCCUUCUGGGUAAAGCACGGCGACUUCCCUCUUUGCAUGGUUAUCUCGCUCUAUGUAGCAUGUGGAAUCGAUAAGAAUGUCAGGGUUGCUUAUGGGGAUUAACAAUCUCUCCCUUGAAUAUAUACCAUGAUCACUCAUCAUGUUGUUCAAGCGCUUUAUGUCCAUGACCUGACAGCACAAAAGAAAUUCUUGAAGCAUGUGACAUGCGGUAUAGACAGGCUCAAAAAGGAUAUGCUUGACAGAAACAUUGAAGCCGGGAAGAAAAAAAAAUUCAGGGAAGCCAUUCUAAAAGUAAGUCUCGGACAACAGUUAUCAAAACAUUGAACCCAGAGAGAUCUAACUACAUGACAUCAUUAUUGACACUUCAGGGAUUAUUAUGACUACAACCAUGGAAAAUUUCCAUAUAAAGACAUUCAUUUCCUAGUUGCACAAACAAUUUAAGUUCUGCUCUCAGAAUUUGAGGUUCACAUUCAACCAUUUCGAUGAAUCAAUACCACCACUGCAGAAUCAUCUACUAUUUCUAUGUCAAUGUUAUUUAGUCAGAGGAACUCUCAUGAGGAUCACAAAGUGCAUUGCCCAUCAUUUCACACUGAUUACUUGCAAAAUCUAAGCAUCAUUUAGCCUCGUGUGUUCUGGCAACUAAGAGAUUGUGAUUAUCUAUUAAGAUAAUCAAUAAAUAGUCAUCAAUCAAGCAUAUCUUUUUGCUAUUAGUAACCGGAGAUGCUUCUCACUUGGCAAACUUAAGAAAACUUUACCACAUGAAGAGAUUUCAUAAUGUUUUACAUGAAGAGGACCCUAUGCUCCCUAAGACAUAACAUUUUGGUCCAAGCCCCAACCUUCCUCCAUACCUCCAGAAGAAACCGUGACAGUGACUUCCAAGUGUAACCGUUUCCUUUUCCUUCUUUAUAUAUUAGGCUUCACUAAAAGAUGAAGUCACUCCAAAAUUACAAAAUUCGUACGUCAAUUAGCCUGGCCUUCCCCAAUGGGAAUAAAUCUAUAAGAUUUGCAGUAGUAAAUUCCAUUGAGCAUCUAUCCUACCACCUAUUUGAUACGAUAUAGAGCCACAGUGUAAAAUUAUAACUAACCCCACUCAAUGGGAUAAAUCUGUCAUUAACGUUGAAGUCAUUCAACCGCCAGCCUGCACACAGAAGCUAUGAACAUCAUCAAAUGAUAUGUACACUGUGUAGCAUCUUGUCAACAUUUUUCUUCUCCUAGUAAAUUCCCCAAGCUAACCUUUAUCAAAGAGGCCAGAACCCAAUCGAAUGGAGGUAUAAAAAAGCCAUGCCCAAAAUUGAACAAAACUAUGUACUUAGACAAUCCUGCACCAAUCAACAGAGCUAUCCAACUUUGGCUAUUAUAAUGGAGGAAUGACAGAAUGCUUCUUCAAGGAGAAAAGCCUCUGCAAAGACCUGAUAAUUGUCGCUACCUGUACAGCUUUCCUCAACCAACAAGUCCUCAGCAUUCUUCGGGAUUCGCCAUUUUAGCAAUCAAACUCAGGAUCACAAAUUCGUAUAUUAUGAAAAGCACCUAACCCAUCCCCACCCAUCCUUUCAGCGCCAAUGAAUAACCAAAUAGACAAUCUAUGCUGGAGAAGAAAACCAGAUGGAUUCCAAGCCAUCAGCAAAGCAAACCCACCAGAAAUUCCAUGAUAAUUCACAAUAAGGCUCCCAGCUUCCGUCCACUUCACUCAAACGGACCCACCCACGUCUAACCCUGGCUACACAUGACCACAUGCAGAACAAACGCACAUGACUUCCGAAACAUCAGAAGGAUACUACCAAGAAACCUUCUUCGUAAAGUUUCAAAAGCUGUAGCCGUACACACCACUUUAGCUAACUUUUAAAUGAAAUCACAAUCCAUUUGUUCGUCAGAAUCUGCCGAAAGUGAAUCUCCAUCGAAAAUGCAGAUUCAAAUCAUGUCAUUUGCAAACGUUUAAAGUAUACCCAUGCGAGAAUAUCAUUUCGCACCAACACAAUGCGCAGGAUGCUCACAAUUAAUACAGAAAAAGUGACAGAAACUCCAUUACCUGAACGGAGUACUUCACGGCGAGGCUCGCGACGCUAUCGCCGCGCUUAAUCCCGGUGCGAGAUCGCGAACUUCCCCACGCCGUUAUCCCCUCCAGAAGCUACCCGAGCUCGGGACGCCGACCACCUCCUUCAACCUCCAGGGGGCCGCGAAGGCUCGGGUGACCAUGUCCCGAUCGGAGGCAACGGAGCUCCAGAUGCGGCAGACGCAGCUCGCGCGGGCCAGGUCCGGGACGGGGAGCUUCUCGAAGAUGAGCCGGAGGGUGUCGCGGCAGGCGAGGGCGGAGAAGUGGGAGUUCAUCGGCGAGAUGGUGGAAUCGUUGGCAGCGGAGGCGGAGGCGGAGGCGGAGGAGGAGGCGGCGGCGGCGGCGGCGGAGAGAGAUCCCGGUCGUCGUCGUCGUCGCCGCAGCAGCCCAUUGAGAGAGAGAGAGAGAGAGAGAGAGUUUUUUGGUUUUGAACGGUGGAUAGUAGAGGUGCCUGGAAUAUGGUUGAAUUAUGAGUUUUCCCCGUGUUUUGUCAUUUAUUACAAAUUGCCCCUAACUUUUCGAUUUUUUGCGAUGUCUCCCCUAAAUUUUGAAAUCGGUUGCAAUGUCGGACUGGGGUGACUUCCAUUACUUUUCAGUUUGAGCACCGACCGUGUGCUUGUCACGUGACUGAGUUGAUCUUUCAUGGAGGGUAAAUCCGUCGGAUAAAAACAUGCGAAUUGUAUUUUAACCUCCAAACUUUGGCAAAGUUGCCCUAACUCUCCGUUAUAUUUCUCUUCCACUUUUUAUCAGCAAUAGAAAUUAUAAAAUCAUUUCCUUUGAUUUAUGAACAUAUUGCUCACACAAAAAUUUCAUGAAAGGAAGUAGUUACACUGAUUUGGUAUUUUUUUUUAUAAUAUAACUAGACAUCAUCACACCACAUGAAAAUCUGAUGUUCGUAUCAUGUUCCUACAGAUUGAUAUUAGUGCUACACUAUCGUGUCUUUUAUUUAACAAUUAAAAUGAUUGACUUAUGGAGUAAUCACUUUAAUAUGUGCUAACAAACAAGUUCUACAAGUUCUAUUGUCUCUUACAAUGUUAGGACUUCUAUUUGCAUUUCCUGAUUUGCUUUUGUCUUACCCUGUAUUGCGAGCCCUAAUAAGCCAUUUCUAGAAAUGAUACAUGAAUCUUUUAGUUGAUUACAUAUGCCUUUCAAAGUUUGGACGAAGUUUGGAGGCUGUAAUCAAAAUCAAAUGCAAAAUUUAUUCGUAACUAAUUAUUUUAAAAGUAUGGGUUAAAUUUGUAAAAAUAUUGAAAACAUAAGCCCCUUGUGAAAAUUGGCCCGAGCCAACACUAGGAAGGCUUUGCAACCAAUUUCAAGACUUGAGGGAGCAUUGUGAAAAUUGAGAAGUCAUGGGGCGAUUUGCAACAAGUGCCAAGAUCUAGAGGGACGGGGUGUAAUCCAUUCCUCAAAUUCCGAUGCCGCGAAACACUUUUUCUUUGCAAUUUUUUUUUCUUAUUUCUAGUUUGUGGAGUUUUUUUUUUUUUUGGUAAAGACACAGUUUGUGGAGUUUUUCUUCUGCACAUAAUGAGAAAAAUACGGACGCGAAAUAGUUUUCGAUGAUGAUGACCAUAUUUGGAAUCACUUGUCGCCGGAUUUUAACCGUUUUGCCUAUACAAAAAGGCAAAAAGAAGAUUUGCCCACAUGUCUAUUGAUUUUGAUUUUAAAUAAGAUACACUAUGACAACUAGACAAAGUAUAAUGUUGGCCUAUGGUUGAUAACGUCGACUCAUCUUUGCUUAAAGUAUCAUGAAACUGUCAAGCUCUCUUUUUGAGUUUAAAUGUGACGUAACUUUAUGGAAGGAAAUCAUACUACUGGCUAGCUUUUGAAUCUUGGGAUCAAUAAAUGUUUAGAUGCUAGGUUCUUUUCACUUCAUUCUGGAGAGUAACUCCAUGUUUUAUUACUAUUAAAAAAAGAAGAAGGAAUAGUAGGCUCUUGACAUUAAUAUUUUGUAUUUGGCUUUACCCUUACUUUCAUACAAAAAAUAAAUAAAUAAGAUUUAAUUAGCACGGGUGCUAUGAAAGUUAUUACCAUGUGGGCAAAAUCGACACUACUACUAAGCUUCUUUGUUUGGUGUCUUCCGCAGGAACCAAAUUUUCUUUUGUGUUGGCAAAAACUAAACUAUUCUUUAACAAUAACGAUCGUAUCGAUCACAGUAUAUGCAGAGGUUGAUUUAAUUAAACGGAUUGAAAUCUUAAUAGAAAUCGAUUGAAACUUUUACUCUACAUAGAUUAGAGUGAAAAUAGAAGUUGCAGCUCCCUACACUUAGAUCUCCACCUAUCGUUAGAUCAAAUUUGAACUAGGAUGGAAUGAACAACUUAUGAGCAUUAGUGUGGUUUCACGUAUAGUUCCAUGAAAGAAAAUGCAAAAUCUGUAAAUGUAUCUCUCAUGGAUAAUUUACUUGGAAUUAGAUCCUAAAAACUGGUGAGGCUUUGAUAAAUCACGUCUUACACUAUAUAGGAGUAAAUAUACCUGUUGAUAAUAAUUGGGGCUAGGUAGAGAGAGAUUUGGGAGAAUGACAAAAGAUAGAUUCGUGUAGCCUUUAAUAGAACUUCAUGAGCAUUGACGGAUUGAUUGAGUGAUUAAAUGUUUGAUUUGGAUGCAAUAGAUUUCAUAUUCAAAUGGUAACCUCAGAGGCCAUACCUGUAAUCUAAUACACAUAGAAGUGGUGGUUUGCAUUCAUAUGUGGGAUCAAUUGAGCCAAAAGGGUUGGAUAUCACGUUUUUAUAAAAAAAAAAUCAUAAGAAAAUUUUAGACCACUGUCCAACUAUCUUUAAUUCUUAAUUGAUAUGGUAUGGUAAGCACUUGGUUAAGAAGAAUUCCAGGGCAGACGACUCCUACAUUUUGCGCUUUAGAUCUGGAUCGUGCAAGCAAGAACUCAUGCAAACUAACUCGCCUUAAGUUAGCGAUGGUUUACUUGAUACUACGCCAACGAAAUGGAAUCUGCUUAUCAAAGGCCCAUGAGUCAAUUGAUUUUCAUGAGUAAGAACGCAGAUGAAUGAGAAAGGGCAGAUCCAGAGCAAUCCAAGCAACGGAAUGCAUCGCAUGAAGAAGAGAGAGGGCCAGCUGUGACAACGCCCGAAACUAAAAUAGCCGACGGGGCAUCCGCACCCUCAUUCAAGAGAUUUUUUUGGACAUUGCUUGCUUUUUCAUUGGAAAAAUAUUACUUUUUAACUUAUAGGGAGCAAAAAAGAUUCAGGCCAUUUGGCUUGACAAAGGCUCAGAAGAAACAGAUGACAAAGAGGAUCGAACAUACACAAAUGAACAAUUCAGGAAGUUAUUGAGGUUAAGGUUCCUCCAAGCGAGGGAUGAAAAUUUUAGCGGAGAUUUUGAGAAGCUAUUUCUUGAAUUAAGAUGGCUUCAGUGGACAGGAUGUCCUUCAUCUUUCGAGGCGACCAACUUGCGUAUGGAGAAACUAUUCAUGCUGGGAUUGACACAAAGUGCAAUUACAUAACAUUGGAAUGGAUGGAGCUCAAUCAGGAUAAGCCGGAACGACACAUCUUGAUGUCAUGUUUCUAAUAUUGAUUACUCCUUGACGACUAAUUCCCACUAUACUCUUUGUUCUUAUAGACGGCGAAGUGGCUCAAAGUUUGGAACCUUAGGUGUGGUCAUUUACCAUGUACUCUUGGCUAUCCAAAAUAUAGAAAUUCUCAUCCUUAAAGAAUGUGAACAUUUGGAGCAAAUUCACCCUUCUAUUAAUGAAUUAGGAGAAUUGAACGAACUUGUUUUGGAUUCGAUUGCUACAAAAGAGAAUCCUGCUAUUGUUUCUCUGAGGAAGCUAGAGAAGCUCAGUGCCAAGCGUUGUUUUGCUCUGGUUCGACUUUCGGACUCCAUAAGUCAUCUAGUGAAUUUGUUGACCCUCGAAUUUAUGUAAUUGUCAGGGAAUGGCCAAACUUCUAGGCAACAUUGGGUACCUCAAGAAGCUAUAGAGCUUGCCAUUUGGCGCAACUUCCACACUCUGUUGCCCAUCGACACAAGUCCCAAGCUCCAUUGGGAAGAUGGAAUCCAUGACUAAACUCGACCUAUCCAGCACAAACAUAACGUAACACUACCAUCUUCCAUAGGAGAUUUGCAUAACUUGGAAAUCCUGAAGAUUUCUACUAGAUUGAAAAGUUGCGAGGUGCAAUUGGAAGGUUGGGGAAACUCCUGCAAUUGGAUGCUUCAAGUUGCACUAGAAUAGAAGGGGAAAUUCCAAGUGAUUUUAACAACUUGUCUUCACUCGUGAAGCUUCUAACAUAUACAUCCAUUUCUGGCUUGCCAGAAGGCACUCAGAAUCUUUCUUCUCUGCAACAUCUUGACUUAGGGGGCUGCCAAAAGCUUCAAUCAAUGCCUGAGCUUCCUUCUGGGUUAGAUUUUCUGCAAGUCACUAAGAGUUUUUGCCUCCACUUUUUUACCAAAUUCAUCUAAGAGAACUCAUUGUUUAUGAUUGCAUAUCGUUGGAAAAUCUCCUAGAGCUUCCUCCAAGACUGUUGAAGCUUCACGUCACAAGAUGUGGCAAGUUGAAAUGCUUGCCAAGAUUUGAGCCUCGUGAAUGCCCCAAAAUGAUGCAAAGCAAACGCCGACACGUUGCAAUAUCCCCAACGACGUUGGCCAUAGCAGGUCGCGUGAAGUUGACUAAGUUGGAUGGCCUUGGACAAUGUGCAAAGUCCCUAAGAUGCAUGCCAAUGAGUGAGAACUAUGGAUCAAGCACUCCAUUAGAUAUGGAAGACAAUCUAGUCGAAGUUCAAGGUCUUGACAAGUUGAAGCACUUGGAAGAAUUGGAUGUAGAUUUUUGCUGUUUUAUUGGAAGACUGGACCUUCCAAAACCAAAUCAUCUGAACGAUUGAUUGCUAGAUAUUGCAAAAAUCUAGUUGAAAUUCGAGGCCUUUAUCAUUCAGAGUUCUUGGAAGCACUGCAUAUCACUGAUUGCACGUCCAUUUUGAGAUUAAACCUUGCAAAAUCAGAGCAUCUAAAGGAAUUGAAGGCCACAAAUUGCAAAAGUCUAAUUGAGAUUUAAGGCCUUGAUAGGUUGAAGUUCUUGGAAAAGUUGGAACUCUGGUCAUGCAAGUCCCUGGAAAGAUUACCAAAACUGUCGUGCUUGGAGACCCUGAAAGAGUUCAACAUCAACUGGUCCAUUGUCUGACCAAAAACAACGGAUGCAUUGAGCUUCGUGAUAUUGAGUCUGGAGAAUUUUUUGUCCUGCCAAAGCAUAUAUAUGGACGAAUGUCCAUCCUUAAAGAUAUUGCCAAACCUGUCAAAUUUCGAGAAUUUAGAGAAGCUCACCAUCAGGAUUCGCUUGAUAUUCACAUGAUGCAAGUCAAUCAAGACUUUACUAGAUUUGUCGACAUGUAAGAUGUUACAAUUUUUGGUGGCCCAAGACUGGGACAAACUUGCCGAACUUCGAGGACUUGAAAAUUUGGGUUUCAUGUAUUUGGAUGUUUCUGGAUGCGACUCACUGGGAGCAAUACCGAACUUUUCUAGAACACACGUCAUACAGGACUAUGAAGAAUGCCCAUAUGAUUAUGGCUUACCAAUGAUUGAAUUCCGAAGGUACUGAUGUGAUAAAUCAUGUAUUACAAUUGGGAGACAAUUGAUGCUUCCCUAAACUAAGGAAAAAGAGCAAGUAAAUUGUCGUUCUUCUUUCGAUUCGUACUAACUUUUUGCCAAGAACAUUUUCCUAAAAAAUCAGCUCUCAGAUUUUUCAUUAUGAUCCCGAAGCAUUGGAAUUUUAUGCUACACAAAGGUGGAUUUGUUCCCUUGAUGCUUGUCCCGGACAUUCCAACUAGGUGCCGCAAGUCCAAACAACUCCAAGAAGUCAGGAAUGACCAACGUACUAGCCACAAAGAACGAUGCUCAAAGCUUGUGGAGUUAGUAAUGCUAUCUUCCAUUUGCCUGAACUGAGUUGACCACAAAAUGCACUGAAAAUCUCAAAAAAAAAAAGAAAAAGAAAAAAAGAGGAAGGUAAUGUCUUUGAAGAUAGAAGAUAACAAACGAAUUCGUGAGGAUUGCAGCUACCGCUGCUUCCAGAGACUUUUCAUGUAAACUCCGGUGCUGCCUCUCUGUGAUAUGAUGACUAGUUCCUCAAAAAUUUGAUAUAAUGCCAAAGUUUUUGUAAAAACAGCGAGCUGUCUAUAUUGCCAAUUUUCCAAGACCACACGAUUUAUUCGAAAGUAUAAGCUAGCACAGGUUCAUUUUUCCUACUCUCAUAUCAGCAGCAUACCAAUGUCUGGUUUUCCAAUUCCCCAGGAAAUGAAGAUUUAUUCUCUUUGCAGGGGUUUAUACCAAUAAAUUAUCAAUACUCUUUUACAUUGCCAAAAUUUCACAGUUGGCAUCAAAACUGAAUUGCAUAUUAAGCUUAUUAUCGAUAAGAAAAUUAACGUUAGAUUCACUUAUAACGUCUCAGCUAGAGAUGUCCAUCACUUUUUUGACUCAGUAUAUUGAGAGGGAUGACAGUCUUUAUUGCUCAAGCUUUUCCUAGGUGUUUAUUGUUGCACUGAAAUUGAAGUGUAGCUGGAUAUGAUUUUUACUUUGCCAGAGCUGUCACUGUGCAUCAGCAACAAUUGGAACUCCAUAGAUUCCUUGCUGAUAGGAAUAUACACCUGUACCAUCAAUAUGGAGUAGUUUAAUGGCACUUCGCAGCAUGAUCAAGUGCCAUUCAAUGGCUGUCCACUAAUUUGCGUAAUUAUCGUACGGGUAUUUACAUGUAACUAUGUAGGGUACUUCCGUGCUUUUCCUCAUGAAAAGUGAGGGAAAAUUAAUUGCUUGCUUUAGUAUGGUUUGGCAGUUAGGAUUGCUGGAGACUCUUGAAUUACUUGAAUUACUCAUCUAGUUCCUGAUUUGCUGAAUCAUUAUCACUAUUUUCUUGCUAAAGAUUGGACAUCCUAGCGAUUUGUCAGCCGACAAUUUCUGCAUACGUGAGAUUUUUGAAAUUUUAGCAAAAAUAACUUCAAACGGCACUAAUGCUUGAAGAAAUCUUGUUGAAGUUGGAAAUGUUAAAUUCAUUUUUCUAGGACAUGAUAAUUGGCACCGCAUGUAGAAAUUCAUCCGCACUCCAUCCAAAUCCGGGACUGAUACAAAUUCUGUCUCAGCAUUGUAAGAAACAGGGGAAGCAGAGUAGAAUGGUACUAUGAAAUACUGAAUAAGAGAAACAUCAGGUGCAAUUCCAGAUAAAUGUCAUUUGACCAGAAUGCAGUUCCAAAUAUCAGUCGAAACCGGCAUUUCAUACGUGCAAGUUGCCCCCAAAGUCAUUGCCUAAUCAAUCCAAAGGCCAUUUGCACUUGCAUCCCGCAUCCUCUUUCUGUGAAAUUACUUAGCAUAAGGUGACAUCAAGCUUGGAUCUGCACUCUGCAGCCUCUUUCUGUUGAUAUUGUUAGAAAUCUGACAGCCUCAUCCAAACCUUUUUUAUGGUUAUUUUCCAAUUGAUUAUGGUAGAUAUUACAUCAAAACACUUUGAAAAUCACUUAUCAGGUUAUAGUUUUGCCUAAUUAGACGAAUGAUUCCAAUGGACCAAUGAUUAAAAAAAGUCUUUGGCUUUACCCUUGAGAGAACAUCGACAUCAACAUGUUGUUAGCAUUUAGCAUGUGACUAAGGUCUUUUGCGAACCUUAUUUUCCCUCCAACAUAACGUAUUUCGCAAUAGUAAUCUUCAACAUAAUAUGCAUUUUCUUUGUGGCGUCAUAGUGGGCGUACAGUUUCGUAUGGUCUCUUCAAAGUUUUUCCCUGAUAAUUCAGUAGAAAUUGUUAUCAGAAGUUGUCUCUGGUGCUGUGUUUUGUGUCCGAACUUCUUUUGUUCGUCUACUACUCUACCUCAUUCUCCAUUAAAAAAAAUAAUAAUAAGUACAUACAAUAGAAGUUAGUCUAAUAUCUAACAAGUUAAAAGUUAGCAUACCUAGAUUUCUGAAAAACGAUUGCUUGUAUCUCAAUCGCUCUGAAGAUAUUUUCCAAAAAAUAAAUGAUUUGGAAAAUACAUCUUUUCUCAUAUGGGCAUAAUAUAAUUCGAGCAAAAACAUUAUGCCCAAAAGAUUGAAGGUAUACCAUGGAAUCAAGCUACUUAUGGGCUUCAUAUCAUCACAGAAGGAACCUUUAAACCAUGUAGAGGUCCUCAUUGUCCCAAAAAGUGGCAUGUGAUUUUAUGCCGGAAAUGGAGUACUUGUGUGUGUUUUUGUUGGUAGCCAUCACAACAUCGAGGCACCAAAUUGCAUUGGUAAAUUGAGGCAUCUACUUUAUCUCAAUUUUUCUUAUACUAAUAUCGAAAGGCUUCCUAAAUCAAUUGUUCGACUGCACAACCUAGAAGCUUUAAUGUUGCGUGGUAAUGAAAAUCUUACCGAAUUGCCUGAAUAUAUUGAAAAACCGNNNNNNNNNNNNNNNNNNNNNNNNNNNNNNNNNNNNNNNNNNNNNNNNNNNNNNNNNNNNNNNNNNNNNNNNNNNNNNNNNNNNNNNNNNNNNNNNNNNNUGCUAUCACUUUUUAUAGGUAAUUUUGGGGGUCUUGAGAUGUGUCCAAAUUUGUUGUGGGAACCCAAAAAUGGCUAAAGGAGUUGUAGAUAAUGCCGAAUGCACCUUGUAGGGAAAUUAUUCACCUCCAAGUUGCUUAAGGUUGGAGAGCAGGUCAAUUUACCCACGAGGGACAGAAUAUGCUAGUGGACCAUGUAGUGAGUGAAGAUUAUGAAAAUUUCCUGAAUUUGUUUGCAAUUUUAACACAAUGAUUAACUUGAAAGAAGAAGAAUAUACAUUAAGAAUCAUAUUGGAAAAAAAAAGUACAAGAACGACAUUGAACAAAUUGUAAAAGUACAGCGACCGGCGGUUUAUUAUCUCUAAAGUUUUUGCACAAAUUUUGUGAAGAGAGUCUCCUAAAGAUUUUGUUAAAAGUGAAAUGUAUUGCUUUCUAUUCUUUUUCCACAAAAUCAAGGCAAUGACACUUUCAAGAAAAUGACCUACACGUCUCAAUAUCUUUUCCCGUUUCCACAUGCAUUAUUUUCUCUAACAUGGCUCUUAGAGAGUAUCAUCAUAUAAAAUUAGUCUUCACUAUGAAUUACAUUGACUCUUACACUAAUAUUGAUUCUUUAUUGUUGGCCAAAGGCCUAAGUGUAGAUUAAAUGCCUCUCAUCAAAAGACCAAUUUUCCACCUGCAUUAUUCUAGUGCAUUUUGCCGUACGUCACAUUUGAAUUGUUUUAACUCAUAGAUACUUUAACAUUAUGCAAUGAAAGGCUGAGAUUUAUUCUUUAGCGGUUCAACAGUCAAUGAUCUUUUAGGUGAGGGCAGGCCAGGUUCCCUGAAUACAUAAUAGAAAAAUGAGUAAGGAAUAAGUGACACGGUUGUCGUACCACAUAAGUUGCGUUCAUAAGGUUGGGUUGUACUACACCCAAGCGGGGAGGCCCGCUAAAAAGGAGCCAUAUAAGAAGCAAAUAAAAAAAAUCAUAAUUUAUUUUUUUAUUAACAUGAAUUACAUGUGAAUGUGGGUCGGACUCAUUAAAGUUUAUAUUGAAUCAAAUCUUGUUACUUUAAAUUCACAACAAUCUUUUCUUUGAAUUUUAACUAAACCAUGCUAUUUGGCUAAUUAAAUGUGACUUAGACCACGUCAACGCUUCUAGUGGUGUAAGACUUAUAUUUUAAUAAAUAAGGAAAGUAAAGGUUGUUCAUAUUCACUUUGAUAUUCGCGACCAUGUAAUCCUAUUACAAAGAUAACUAAUGAAAGGGAAGGGCUAGUGGGGUAAAGAAGUAAAUUACCUUGUCAAAGACGGUAAGAUUAUGUGUGUCCCGAGCACUUUGGCUCAUCUUUUAAGGCAAAGAGAAGAAGUAAUUUCCAACGUAAACACUUUCACGAAAGUUGCCGAGCAAGGGAGGUGAUUGUGUGGCUCUUUAGUAGUACCAUGCAAAAACUAAUUUUUCAAUGUGAACACGUUGACUCCAAUGUAAAGUAUUGAGUUUUUCGGUUAAUGGGGUCGAGAAAAGCUAAAGGUCACUUGUCUUGAUUUGAUUGGUCACGCGGACUAAUUGCAAAGAGAAAGUAACAAAAUAUCCUCAAAAAUCUAAAGUGAGUGAGGUAGUCUUGCUUGAAGGAGAUGAUUAACUUUCUACACCUUUUACACAAACAUUAUAUAUAUACAUACAAAAUUAGAUUUGGACUAUUGAAGAUAACAAGAUUUAUGUAAGUUUUAUAUGAGCCUUGUUAAAUUUAACAGUCUAAGUUCAUUUGAUAAUAUUUUUAUUCUUGAAAAAAAAAUUUGUUUAUAAAUAAUUUGUUUAUUUUUAUUUUCGAAAACAAAGAAAUAGAUUUUUAUCUUUUCGGUUUCAAAUUUAUUUACUGAUCACUUUUCUAUUUCAGAUAAUAGAAAAAUUAGUUGAUUUUGUCAAAUAAUUUUUUUUUGACGAAAAAAAAGAGCAGAAAAAUAUGAAAACAGGAUGGGUACGCCUGGAUAAUCACUAGAAAAAUGGGUACGGAAUGACUGACAUGUCACAUGGACACUGGUCAAAGGAACAGGCAAAGCUCACGCGGUUCUCGUACGACAUGAGUUGGCCUACACAUGUUGGGUGGUGCCAGACUAGAGCACGAGGGCCCAUUAAGAAGGAGCCAGGAAAAAGCAAAUGGAAAAAUCAUUACUAUUUUAUCUUUUUUUUAUUAACAUAAAUUACAGUUGAAUGUAGUUUAGACUCAUUGAAUUUCUAUGUAGUUAAAACUUUUUACUUUAAACUCAUAACAGCCCAUCCUUUAAAUUUUAGCUAACUCACUAAAUAUGAGUUAAUUUGUAGAUUAUUUUUCAACUCAUUUUAACGCCAGCAAAAGACUUCCAUUUCCACAGCAGAGAAAGCAAAAGGUUGCUCAUCCACUUUGAUUUGCACGGCUAGGUGAUCCAAUUACAAGGAGAUCUGACAAAAGGUGAGGGUCAAAGAAGCAAAUUGCCUUUUUAAAGUUGAUCGUUUAAUUUUUGUUAAGAAUUUUAAUUGGAUUUAAUUAAUCGAAUCAAAAUAAUCCCAAAAAGUGACUUUUUUUUUUAUCAUCAGAACUUAACCAAAUAAAGAAAAUACGGAAUUUCGAUCCGUUUCGGUUCCGUACAAAUUACCACACAAAAGACGGGGCAAUCCACGGCAAGAAAGUGCGUGGAUCAGGAGCAGGUCUGGCUCAUCUUUUGAGACGAGAGAAGAUGCAAUUUCCAAUUCGAACGCCUUGCGGGACGUUGCCAAGCAAAAGUGAUGGCGAUGAUUGUGUGGCUCUUGCGGAGAAGCAACCAAAAUAUCUUUAAAGUCUACGGCGAGGUAGUCUUGCCAAUUUCGAGGAAGGAAGGUUUGUUUCGGUGGUCUUGGUCAAAAAGGUGAAGGUAAAAAAGCAGUACAAUUGCCGCGUGAAAGAAGCGCAAUCCUUUCCACAAGAUUGCGCGUCUCCUUCGGGGCAAGAGUGAGAAGUAAAAGCUUUAUUUAAAGUCCCGAGUGCUAGUAACCCAGGAGCAGAAACGCCAAUCACCGUAAGUCACUUGAGACGCUCGUCUUUCGCUUUGAGAUAUCUGGCUUUGAUAGCUCUAGAUUGAGGCGUGAAGGUGAUCUCAUAAUUGUGCUGCUUUUGAGGCUCGGACACGACUUGAUGUGCUUUAAGGUAACUCUUUUUCAGACAUUAAAGCCCAUCUGAGUAAUUCCGUCUCUGCAUCACUCCUCCAGAUGAGCCGGAUAGUCUAUUACAUUUUUGAUAGAAGAAAAUAAAAACAUUUGCACCGCAUCUAACAUCCUUAAAAGCAUGCACAAUAUAACAUGUGAAAUUCCAUCGACUUUUUCAAAAUCACAGUCGUCACAUUUAUUGUAGAUUUUUCUUACUACGUUACCCUUUAUUCAAACUGAUCACUAUGAGCGGUUGGACUGGUUAAAUUCGGGGGAAUUUAAUAGUUCCUACUACAAUCUCUCUCUCUCUCUCAUAUUUGUCACUUUCUGAACCUUUUACAUCGGUCCUCUCUCUUGCAGAACAGUUCAACGCUAUCAUCUACAGUCCUCGCUCUCUCUCUUUGUUCAUUUCCCUCUUGAAAGUUCUCGCCGAGGCUUGUUUAGGGUCUUCUCUCUUCGAGCUUGCACCUCUCUUCGCAUCUCAGCUCGCGGAAGGUAAUCGUUUUUUCAUCUCUUAUUAGCGUGUCAUCUUUGUUGAUUUGUUGCGGCUGACCUAGUGUGCAAAGUGUAUUGGGCUCUUUUUGUCUAAUGUGGGAGGCUGCUAACGUGGUGUGUCACCAGCUCAUAAUCGACUUCUGUAGAAAGGGAAGCCUUUGCUUUCGACUUUAGAUGUGACUAAUCAUGUGGCCUCUCUGUCUCAUUGUUCGUUUGCAUCGCAGUUCAUUGUCCAUCCUUUAUUAAGCUAGAAUGAGUUAGAAUGCCAGCACACUAGAUUCUUUUUUCUUUUUUUUUGGGGUCGAUAAAGCACUUACCAUUGAGUUCGAGAUCAUUACAUAAUAAAACCGAAACUGAAAAUGGAUAGGGCAGAUAUAAAACCCAAUUAUGAGGAAGGCGGUUAUCACGAUAGGCUUUUGCUACCCGGUUGGCAGGCUUGUUAGCUUUUCUAGGUGCAUAAGAUAUUUAGAUUUCUUGAAGUUGGGCCAGCAGCACUUUGGUAUCUUCUAUAAUUGGUUGCACCGUCGAUGGGCUCGGAAUUAAGCCCAUUAAACUUUCCAUCACAACUUUGUUGUCAGAGUGUACUUCGCACUCGUAGGUUAGUUCAGGCCAAGCCGAAGACUUUUCCCUCUUUCCUGCUAAAGACUCAUUUCUCUUUCUUGCCUCUGCUAGCUUCAACAAAGCCGCACGAAUGGCCAGAGCCUCCGUUUUUAGGGCUGAAUUAGCGGUGAUUUUCUCCACAAAACUGUCUAUUGCGCACAAAAUUGCCAGUAUUCACCUCAAACCAGGGACCGUCUUUUAAUGGGUCGUGAGGUUUCUUUGUCUAUGAAGGUCUAAGAUAAAUUAAAUAAAAAACGAAACAGAAAAGAAAAAGUAGUAGGCCGGUUUGCGGCCAAUUUUGGGAUCAAGGGGUUUGAUUUUCAAUUUCGAAAAUUGGAAACAGGCUUUGAUAGGAUAGGUUUCAGGUCUUGUUUCGGAAUCUACACACUAUAAAAGUAAUUAUUCUCUUAAUUGGAUUUUAUUCGACAAUUUUGCCUCCCAAUAGAACAUUCAAGACAAAUAAUAUGAUGUCUUCCUUGAAUUAUUGGACAAGAUAACUCAUUCUUCCUUCAGAGUCUUGAAAAUUGACGGAGUCAGUUAACUGAAGAAAGGGUUAACACAGUUAACUGAAGAAAGGGUUAACAAAAAAAAAAGUUGAAUGAGUUAAUAUGCCUAGGUUUGAGUAUUUUUAACUCUAUUGCUGCUUUUUUUGAACAAAAAAUGAAAACUAUAUUGCUACUUUCUACCCGCUCUCCACUCAUGAUAGUUUCAAUCAUCACAAUACAAAACAUACCAAAAUCCAUAUUAUGAUGACUUCUUUCACCUUUGUGUCUUUCUAAAAUUGCAGUCAUGGUAAAAUCUUAAUUUACUUAAUCAUAGAGACUCCCAAAUACAUGAAUUCUUUUAAAAUAGAAUAGAAGUAGAUAAUUGAGGGCUUGUUAUUCAACAGUAUAAUAUGAUUUAUAUACCCGUGUCAAUCAAUAUCCAUAUUCACAUAUAUCUAUCUAUGAUCUUUUCUUUAACUUCAUACCUUUUACAUGCUAUUCAAUAGGAAGAAAAAUAUCUUAUGACACACACGUGAAAAUGAUCACAUAAAUUGAGGCAUACGCGCAUAUUAAGAGAUUCACCAAACUUUAUAACACUCAUUUCUUACACUUCUUAUUACAAACAAUAAAUUCGUUUUUCAAAAUGUGAUUAAUCAAUUUAACUUGGUUUAUCAUGAAUUUAGUCAAUAAUCCUACUCUUCUUCCAUUUAGUUGAAGAAAAAAAGCUUUGCGGUGAUAUUUUCAAAGUGGGGCGUCCAACAAAAAUGGGGACAAGCACUCAACGUCAUUGUUUCAAACCUUGGUCGUCUCUUAAUUUUCUUCAGGAGCUUCCUUUUACUUCCUUUCUUCUCUUCUUCUCCUGCUUCCACCGAAUCCGUACAAUUUUGUGUCAUUUCUAAUCGGUCAGACUAACGUGGAGAAGGGGCAAAUUCAGAGCAAGGCAAACAAAGGGCUGCAUCGUUUCGUUUCAGAUCGGUUCCUUUGCGGUGCUUCUUGCGUCUAUAUGCUUGUAUUCAAACAUCUCACUAAGAAGAAAAAGAGUGCACUGAGGGAAUCUGCCACUCCGUUUGAUGCUAUCUAACAAAUUUAUAGCUUUAGUUCUACAGAUAAGAUAUCAAUCAAUGUUUAAGAUUUGAGGAUUUAAAAUGAAAGGCUCAGUGAUGAUAUACCGGUUCAAAAUAAAAUAUUUAUACAUGGAAUUAUAGCAUGUGGUGUUGGCGUGUAAUGAGUAAAAGAUAAAUAACCAUGAGCAUUUGUUUAUCCCUACCUCACAUUUUAACUUCAUUAAAUAUAUGACAAUUUUAAACAUAAUUUAAAUAUAAAAUCACAUCCAUAAUUACUAGCUCAGUCCUUUCUUGACUUCUUUCAAGCAUAUCUAAUUCUGUUUCAACUCAAUUAUUAACAUUUAAAUGAUUUAUCAAAUUCUGAUUUUCUAUAACCAAAUAAAAACCAAACGUAUGCUUAUGUUUUUAGUCGAAUGCAAUAUACUUGUACACAGAUUCCAGUUCUUUAUAGCCUAAUUGAAAAAUUAAUGUACACGUUGUUCGUGAUUGGAUCAAGCCAACGAGGUUGACUUGACUAGAGGAUGAGGUCCAAAAGAGGAUAUUUAAAAGCAUAGAAAUUUAAAAAUAUUUCUUUUAUCACACUAAAGGCCCUAAAAUUAACGUACAGGUUAAUUGAAAAAAUUUUGGACCCACAUUUUCAGGGAAAUACUCUUAGAAAAGCCCUAGUCAAUAUCUUCUUUCAUUUCUAUGCACUUUUAGAAAGAAAUAAAAUGUCGGCCCAAAAGGAAAUAUUUCCCCUCAAUUUAAAAUCAUUUUCAUCAACUUCCUUCAUAAUUUAAACAGCCAAACAAAUGAAAUUUUUUCCUCAAUUAAUAUUUUAGUUUUAGUUAAUUUUACAUAUGAGCAAUGCCUAAAACUUGAAUCCUGCCAAUUAAAUCAUGAUUGAUGGAAAUUUUCUCAAAUUAGGAAAGUGCACGCAUCUGGAGAAUGAUGUCCACUGGGCAACAAUUACAUGACACCACAUUAGUUUGGCCAACCGAAAUGGGGUUAGUAGAAAGGGUUGGGAAAAUGAGGUGGUGAAGAUAAUGAGGUUUGUUUGUAUAUUAGGCUAAAAAUAGUAAGAGUAAGGUCGAAGACUAUUAUAAGGAUAAGAUGUCGUGGGAGUUUAUAUUUGGUGGAAGAUGGUUCCAUGGUAUCUCCUAUUUCNNNNNNNNNNNNNNNNNNNNNNNNNNNNNNNNNNNNNNNNNNNNNNNNNNNNNNNNNNNNNNNNNNNNNNNNNNNNNNNNNNNNNNNNNNNNNNNNNNNNNNNNNNNNNNNNNNNNNNNNNNNNNNNNNNNNNNNNNNNNNNNNNNNNNNNNNNNNNNNNNNNNNNNNNNNNNNNNNNNNNNNNNNNNNNNNNNNNNNNNNNNNNNNNNNNNNNNNNNNNNNNNNNNNNNNNNNNNNNNNNNNNNNNNNNNNNNNNNNNNNNNNNNNNNNNNNNNNNNNNNCCCCCUCUCUCUCAGGAGCACGAACUUUUUUCAGCAUUUCCCUCUCAGAUCGCCAUGGAUAAAGGGCAAAUUCAGAGAAAGAGAGAGAGAGCACAGAAAGAGAGCACCGAGGGAGCAUCCACUUCUUCGUUCAUCUCUCCAAAACUCACAGGACAAGGUGACGAUGCAUAUGAUGUAUUCUUGAGCUUUAGAGGCUCAGAUACUCGUAAGGAAUUCACCGACCACCUCUACAAUAGACUGGUCAAUACAGGGACUGUGUCUAUUUUUGCGUUCAAGGACGAUAAGAGCAUCCCAAUUGGUGAGGAUUUUAGUUCACAAAUUCUUGGUGCCAUCUCACGAUCUAAGAUUUCAAUCCCCAUCAUCUCCGAAAAUUAUGCUACUAGCAAAUGGUGCCUUCGUGAGCUCAUCCAUAUGAUGGACUGCAAGAAUAGUGUGUCACACAUAGUGUUGCCAAUUUUUUACAAAGUUAAACCAUCAGAUGUGCGGAAUCUAGAAGGAAAUUUUGGGAAUGCCUUCCGUUCGAGUCAGGAGUAUUUUGAUGAGAAGGAUAUCCAGGAAGGGCCGUGUGCACUUAAAGAAGUGAGUUACUUACAGGCGUGGGAGUCCCAGAAAUUUGCUAACGGGUACGUACAGAACAUUUCUUCCUUUUUUUUGGUUGGGGAACUUUUCCUUUUUCUUUGAUAAGUUCUCUUCACGCAAAACCAAUGAAAUGCAGAUGUAUUACUUGCAUUGAAAGCUCAGAAAAGAUCCCCAAAAUGUCCCAGUAAACAACCCUAAUGGGUCGAAGACUAGCAAACACUAGUACUUCCCAGGAUCUCGUGAAAACUAAACGAACGACAACUUAAGCCAAAGAUCCCGUAGUGCCCAAGAAUUUUACAUUUGUCUCCAACACAAAGCCAAAAAACGAAAGAAACAACCCCUUCAGCCAAUACUAUGCCCAUAAUGGACCCCAAUGCUGGGUCUUGAUCGCUACCAGAUAACUUAGACCUCAUUAUGCCAACGGGUUGGCUCGGCUGAGAAGGGUUGGACAAUUCCCAUUUACCAUGUUUAGGCUUGAUUUCCAAUGCCAGUAACCCUCAUUGGUAGGCAAUCUUGGGAUAGCCUCCUCUCCUCCUAGAAUUUUUUAACCAAAAAAAAAUAAAAAAUGGACCUAUCUUUGAACGGGCAACAACCUCAAUCGUUAUAAUGAACAUUAUAGUUUGAAAGACUCUUCUUGAGCCAUGUACAUCACCUUAUUUUAUUUCAACAAGAUCCAUCUAUUGGCAUAAAAGGAUAGGGUAAAAAAAAUUGGAAUGACCACUACUCCAUCUUCCCCCAUUGUUAUGCGUAAAUCCAAAACAGCUUGCAUGUUAAUUGGCCCCAUGCAUCCUCAAAUAUAUGCUGGUCUUUGGAUGAGAUUAAGUAUAAUCAAGUAGUUAUCAAUGAAUUUUGUUGUUUGACAGGCAUGAAGGAGAAUUAGUGGAAGAAGUGGUCAAAAAGGUUUUGAGCAAAUUGCAACAAGACUUUCAGCUUGAUGUUACUAAGCACUUAGUUGGAUUUGGGGAUCAUGUGAGCAAAAUCAGGAAUUGGGUAGACACUCCUGCCAAUGCUGCUCGAAUGAUUGGAAUCUAUGGCAUGGGUGGGAUUGGAAAAACAACUCUGGCCAAAUCAAUCUACAACCAGUUGUUGGAUGAAUUUGUACAUCAUAGCUUCCUUGCUAAUAUUCGAGAAAUGGUUCAACACAACGGUAUUCCUUAUCUACAAAAUCAACUAAUUGAGGAAGUACUUCAAAUUGAAUGUCAAAUUCGGAAUGUUGACCAUGGAAUUAGUUUGAUUAGAUCUAAAUUCAAAGGAAAAAAGGUUAUCAUUCUUUUGGAUGAUAUAGAUAACAAAAAGCAACUAGAUGCUUUGGCUAGAGAGCGUAAUUGGUUUAUGAGUGGAAGUAUUAUCAUUGUUACAACUAGAAAUAAAGCUAUUCUUGAUCAAUCUGAAUUUGAGGUAGACUACCCAUAUGAAUUGAAUGAAAUGGGUAAGGUGCAUUCUUUGCUUUUAUUUAAGAGACAUGCAUUUCGUAUGGAUCAUUGUCCAACGGACUUUGAGGAUAUCUCUCAUCAAAUCAUAAUCACCAUGGGUGGGUUACCCUUAGCUCUUGAGGUUGUUGGUUCAUACUUGUUUAAAAAAACAAAUCUAAAUGUAUGGAAAGAUAUGUUGAAGCAAUUGAAAGAAGGACCACAUAAAGAUGUCCAAAAGAUACUGAAGAUAAGUUAUGAUGCAUUAGAAGAUGGACAUAAGCAAAUUUUUCUCGAUAUUGCUUGUUUCGGUUUUGUUAUCAGGGAAGAGAUCAAAUUCGCAAUGUACAUGUGGGAGGACUGUGGGUUUCGUCCAAGUCAAGGAAUAGAAGAAUUGGUAUUGAGGUGCUUAAUAAAAAUUGAAAAUGAUGGCAAGUUAUGGAUACAUGAUCAAUUGAGAGAUCUUGGAAGGAGCAUUUUUUGCCAAGGACAAUCACCUGAAAGAUGUAUUGGACCAUGGGUCGGCGAAGAAGCCUUCGGAGAACAAAUACUAGGAAAGGUAACAUCUGGCCCUCCUCUCUCUCUCACUCAUAAUUAUACAUAUAUAUAUUUUUAAUAUGAAUUAUUCUAUUCUUUAUUUAGUAUGAGGAAAUGCUCGUACUUUUUAGGAAAAAGUAUGUUUAAACAUCCGUUCAUGUCCAUUGUAGAUGAAUUGUGACAGCUAAUUGGGAUUAUAAGUGUCCCAAGGAUGAAAAAGUUACCUUAUUUGAUUCAAAUUCAUUGAUAUAAAUUACAUCUGUCAAAAACUUAAUUUACAAUCAAUUUAAGAUUCUUUAACUACGAUUCUGCACUAAAAAUCUGGUUCACUAAAAGCACGGAACUUUAUAUCUAGUUGAAAAUAUUAAUAAUCUGAAAAAUUACAGUAAUUAAUACAGAUGAAGCAUAUACAUCGUAAAAAAAAAAUUGCCAAUCAUAAUAAAUAAAAAUUAAGCAAAUCAGUAACAGUAAAGAAAAAUCAAUGUUUGAUAAACUUUUCCCCCAUUUUGAUCAUGAAAGUACCCGUCCCUCUACUAGUUUCAUCUAUCUCUUUUCCUUCUUCUUUCCUCUUAAUAGAUAUGAUGGUAAAAAAUCUCCUUAAGAAUUAUAUUGGGAAAACCUUACUAUGCUUUUAGGGUUACGUCACGUUGACCUUGUUCAUCUCAUGGACUAGGUUAGGUGUCUGACAAUCAGUGGAUCUUCUUAUUAUUUCUUUAAUUGCUUCUUUCAUUUCCAUUGUCCGUUCCUUCGCUUUUCCUAAUAAAAACUUCUUUCCUCUCCAAGUUGUUUUUAUAUUAUUUAUAUAUUUGGGACAACGCUCUUCUGUGCCAAAAACCACUGGACAAACUUGACUAUUUGGAGGAAAUGUCAUGCUUAUUAUUAUAUCGAUACUUUUUUAUUUACUAUAAACAAUUUUCAGCAUGAAGUCAAAUUUGAAAGUAAGUUUAGUUUUUACAUAGAUUGUCAAUGUUCAUGUCAUUUAAUUAUUUUAUAUUGUCCAUUUGGGGAAGCCUAGUUGGUUCAUGACUGAUCAAUGGCGGGGAAUUAGCCUUAGUUAUUAGCCAAGAGAUUGUGGGCAAAGGAAAAAGCUUUAUUUUCUUGAUUUAAAGUGAAAUAGUUCACACAUACCAUUAUAAAGAGCACACUCUUUUGUUGAUCCAGUGCCUGUUCUUAACAUUAGCACAAAGAGCACACCAUAUGGGUGCUUAAAAAAUGAAAAAGAAAAAAAAGAAGUCAGAAUUUGUUUGAACGGAGAUAAAUUUUGAAAGAUGCGAGGGACGUUAAUGUAAUUUGGAAAAUGAAAUAUUUAUGGGACUAAUUUCCACUCAUCUUGACCAUUUAAAUUAUUUAUAUCCUGUUUCUACAAUUCAUUUUGGUAAAAUAUCUGCUGAUCUUUUUUCUACGUAAUAUUCUGUAGGAUUAAUGUACGAUUGCAAUUUAUGAAAGAUAGAGUGAGAUGAUGAUUACAACAAGAUUUCGUGAUUUUUCCUGCAAACACACUUAAGAGAAAUUAUAUUCACCGUUGGUAUUUCAUUAGUUAAUAUACAAAGUACAAACAAUGACAAACGAGUCAAAUUAUAAAACUGAACCCGACUGAAAAAAAUUCUAUCUUUGAUUUCAUAGUGUUUGUGAAAGUUCUUAUUUCACAAAACAAACUUGUGUCUUCACGGUUUGGUUUAUUCUUAAUAUUUCCAAGAAACAAAAGAAAAAAAAAAUUGCACUUUCAAGUUAUGUUGAUGGGUCGAUAAUUUUAAUUUUUUUGAUGUACUAUAUCUCUUGCACUAUGGUAUCUUCUCUUCUAUGAUUGUACUUGGCCUUCUAAUAGCAUUCCAAAAAAAUAAAAAUAAAAACAAGAUAAUGCUUUCGAUUUGGAGCAAAUACUGUUCUAACAAAAUUUCACGUGAAAGAAAAAAGGUCAAUUAGUCAUGAACCCGUGCCAUGCAGAGGCACAAAAACUAACGUGAAUAAAUUUAGCGUGAAGAUAUAAUUGUAGUAUCCUAAUCUCUAUUGAAUCCAUGAGCUGUUUUCGUCAUUCACCUCUUAAAAUUGAAAACCACCAUCAAUCACCACUGCCCAUAUCUAAAUAUAGUUCUUUUUAGAGAAAGAAUUGUUCAUCGUUAGAAACUUACAAGUGGUGUCAUCGGCUCAAUCCAAUAUAAAUGGUGUGAAUUGCACCUGUCAUGUUUACUCUAUUUCUAAUAUAACAUAAUACCUUAAAUAUUAAAAAAAAAAAGAUGAGAUUUGUCUCAGUUUAGGUCCCAUCCAAUUUUACUAUAAGGAUUCUCCUACAAAUAAAAAGUGUGGCAAAAGAGUAAACUCCCACUUUUGUAUGGUACUUGUUCUCUAAUGAACACGUCCCACACCUUUAACAGUUUAAUAAUAUUCUCUUCAUCGACCCGUCGUAUCAUCCCCAAUCCUUAUCACCAUUCUCAUCUUAUUUUUAAGAGCUAAGUCACAAUGUCUCAUAAAACUAAGGAUAAUGUCAACAGAACACGCAAAUAGCAUGUGUCUAGAGAAUUGUGGACAUCAAGCAAACUCCAAUUACAAAUAUAAUACCAUUUCUAGGUCAAAUUUUGCUUUUGCGUGUCACAAAUGCAUUUUCUUGAAUAGUUCAAGGGGGGGCACCACUGGCUCAAAAUUACUUUGCUCUGGAAAUGCAUGUUGUUAUUAAAGUGAAUACUAAUUUCUAAUAUCUAAUUCGCCUCUUAAGAAGCAUGCCCAUGCUAAAAACGAACGCCAAUAAUUUACAUUAACAUACCUCUAGAAAACCUAUCUGACAAAAGUGGGUACUGACAGCUAUAUAAGUUCCAUAACGGUGGAAUACUCCACUCACUCUCUUUGCCAGGUGAGACACAGGCUUAAUUAAGUCCGACUGCACAGUUCAAACAGGGAAUAUCUGAACUUAAUGGUGCAAGGAAUUAAAUAUAAUGAGGAUAAUCUACAUUCACUAGCACGUUCCUUAACGACUAAACCGGCUGCGUAGGGUUGCCUCUCAGAAAUUUCAGCCGAAUCUUUCAAAAAACUAUCAACCGUACCUUAUUUUGCUUUGGGUAAAUCCUAAAGAACUUGACCAUAGGAUGAACUCCCAAGAAAAAACAACUCACUAGAUAUGGCUCCUUGGUGCUUAACCGAGCAUGGCUGGGUGUCCGCUUUUAUCGAGAAUCGCACUGCUAAGCCGUUCGUGCGACUGGUUGAGUCUUGCUGGAGGCCCAGCCACUGACCAGUAGCUUUGGCUACUUGCGACCUCUGUCAUGGACAUCUCAGCCUUGUUCCUCUGGAAGUCUGUGCCAUGUCAAACUGCAAAGUCCCUCGUCCACGGGUUCUUUAAUACAUAUUGAGUCGCGGCUUGAUGUAUCUGUGGUCAAGCUCGGGACGCUAAUCCAAUAAAAAGUUUAAAUAGAGUUCUGUGUGUUUGGAGUAAAUGCUCUUUUAAAAUUUCGGUGCUUGAACGUUAUCGGAUACUGUCACUGAUCAGCUAAACUUUCGGGGGAAAAAUAAAAAGUAUUGGCCGUCUGGGAUUUUGUCACCAUCUUUUAGUAAUUAAAUGAUCACCAUCUUUUACUAAUUAAAUGAUCUCUUUUAGCAACGAAGUUAAGCGGUACUUUUUGACUUAUGCAAAAAGAAACGGUGCCAGUCUCAGGAAACGGACAUACGUAUCUUCACUCUUUUGUUUUGGUAAAAUACACGAGUAGAUUUCUCCAGAAACUCUCCUCUGGCAGAGUUUGCCAAAAGAUACUGCCCAGCAACAACAACCUAUAUGUUAGAAAUCUUAAUCUAACAAUAACACCGAGAAAGGAAGUCAAUUAUUUUAUUUUUAGUUGGCCUAAAACCAACUCUUUUCCAAUUCCCAUCUAAAUCUAAAAUAUUAUUUAAAUACUAUCACCUUUUGAACAUACAUGACAAGAGAAGUUUCAUUUUUAAAAGCAAUGAUUAAACACUUGAUAAGAGAAUUUAACGAAUUGAGGGAAUCGGGUUCUUCCUUAGCUACUUAAGUUAUCCAUGGGCACUCUUUAACAUUUGUAUGUUUUAAAAGUUUCACGUAUUUCACCUUGGAUAAAAGUCAAAAUUCAUACAUUACAAGAUUCAGAAAAAGCAGAAGGUAAAACAUGUUUCGUUUUCAAUUUUUUAAAGCAAGAAGCAUUGUUGUUUUUGUUUAAAAUAUUGUUUAAAUUUCAAAAGAUUAUGAAUAUAUUAUAUGUGAGUUAAAAUGUCAACAUAUAUGCAUAGCGAGAGGUAAAAAGAUGACAAAUUGUGUAAGUCUAGGAUUUAGAAAACCAAAAAUAAAAAAUAAAAAGUCAAUUUAGACACUCGAUUGAUUUGAUAUGCAGGGGUCUCCUUCAGUUUUCCACAUGAUCGGAUAUCUUUGCCCCCAUGGCUGUCCCUCUACAUGCACAAGUGAACUGUUUAAAACCUUACUGAGCUCAAGGUUCCUUCAAUUGCACUGCAAGGCUUUAAGGGGAGACUUUAACGAACUGUUUUCUGAAUUAAGAUGGCUUCGAUGGUUAGGCGUUGAACCCAACAAGUCUUCUUUGGCAAUCAAUUUACAUCUACCUAAACUAGUGGUGCUAGAGUUGUCACGAAACAAGCUCACAGAGGAUUGGAGCGGAUGGAGUUUAAUCAUGGUAAGAUUGAAAAAAAAAACAUUCUCUGUGAUCUUUGCUUUGUAUUGUCUUGUCCAUUAAACUCCUUUUUUGACAGCUUAUUCUCCUUUGUACAGGAGGCAGAGGGACUAAGAGUUCUCGACCUUUCAGGUAGCGUUCAUUUAAAAGGUACUCCUAAUUUCUCAGCUUUCACAAAAUUGGAGAUUCUUAUGUUGAGCAAUUGUCAAAUACUGAAGAAAGUCUGCCCUUCUAUUGGCAAAGUCAAGAGCCUUGUUUCCUUGGACUUGAGAGGCUGUUCCUCUAUCAGAGAGCUACCAAAGGAAGUGGGUGAAUUGCAAAACCUAAAAGAACUUCUUUUAGAUCAAACCCUUAUUAGAGAGAUUCCUUCGUCAAUCAGUUCUCUGAGGAUGCUAAAGAAACUAAGUGCCUUGAAUUGUUGCUCGUUGGUUGGAAUCCCUUCAAUUGGGAAACUUACUUCUCUCCAACACCUCGACCUAGGUGGGUGUUGGUCAUUGAGAGAUAUCCCUAACUUAGAGAAUCUUUCUUCUCUCCAACAUCUUAACCUCUCUGAAUGUUGGUCAUUGAAGAAACUCCCUGACUCAAUUGGGAAUCUUUCUUCUCUAGAAUACCUUGACCUCUCUAAUUAUUUCGGUAGGCAUUUUAAUCAUCGACCUUUUUGCUCAAGUCCUUUAUCAUCGGGAGUACUCACUAUUUCCCAGGCGAACAGUUUUCUCGGAGAAGCUGAUCUAAGCCAUCUCAAGUUUUUGACAGAAAUCCCUUUCUCAAUUGGGAACUUACAGAACUUACAAUAUAUGGACAUUAGUUUUUCUGCUAUUAAAGGGUUCCCCCGUGCUAUUGGAAGGCUUGAAAAACUACGGAGGCUAAUUUUUAAAUCCAGCGAUUAUGAGAGAGUGGGAUUUAUAGAAACACUCUGUAAAAAAUUUCCUUCGCUUUUCAACAUCAUUCACACAUUCCAAUCUAUGCAGAAACGUUCUCUUCUCGAUUUUCUUCCCAGAUCCCAUGAUGAUCUCCGAGUGUUGUUACGGACUUCUUCCGGCUUAACAUAUAUUCAUGUCUAUUACCCGAUUUGCAGAUUGCCCCGGCUUUCUUGCCUAAAAGAACUAGAAGAACUUCAUCUUGAUGGAUGCAAUGAACUUGAGUACAUCCCAGAGCUUCCCCCAAGCCUCUUGAAACUUUGUGUUGACUCCUGUCCUAAGCUGAUAUUGCCUGAGUUUGACAAAUUCAAGUACUUGGAAGAGUUGUCAAUAAAACGCUACAAUUCCAUUGAAAGAAUGGACAUCUCAAAAUUGAAUCGUCUGAAAGGAUUGGACAUUGAGGAUUGCGAUAAUCUAGUUGAAAUUCAGGGCCAAGGUAAAUUAGAGUUCUUGGAGACUAUAAAUAUAUGUAGGUGCAAGUCCAUUGAAAGGCUGAUCCUUCCAAAAUUACAGUGUUUGAAGCGACUACAUGCUCUCUCUUGCAACAAUCUUGUUGAAAUUCGAGGUCUUGAUACAGAGUUGUUAGAGGUGUUGGAUAUCUCUGAUUAUCGGUUAAAUGCUGACUUGCCAAGCGUACUGCUCCCGAAUAAUAAGUUGGAAAAGAUAGUUUUAUCUGGCUUGUGUUUGAAGCAAUUAAAGGUUCACUCUUGCGAUAAUCUAGUUGAAAUGCAAGGUCUUGAUAAGGCAGAGUUGUUUGAGUCCAUUGAAAGAAUUCCUGACUUACCAAGCUUCGUGACCCUGAAAAAGUUGGAAAAGCUAGUUUUAUCUGGCUGCAGGUCCAUCAAGAAGCUGAUCCUUCCAGAAUUGGUGUGUUUGAAGCAAUUAAAGGUUGACUCUUGCCACAAUCUAGUCGAAAUACGAGGUCUUGAUAAGGCGGAGUUGUUGGAGGAAUUAGAUAUCUCUGAUUGUCGGUCCAUUGAAAGAUUACCUGACCUAUCAUGCUUCGCAACCCUAAAAGAGUUGAAUAUCAAUGAGUGUUACAAUCUACGUGAUAUUGAGAGCCUUGAGAGAUUCUCGUCUUGCCGAAGCAUAUAUAUAGAAGGGUGCAAUUCCCUAGAAAAAUUACCGAACCUAUCGAAAUUUGAAAAUUUAGAGCAUUUUACAUUGAUGGAAUGCUUUGUUACAGAGAUUCCUGGGCUCGAGGAGUCAGUAUCUCUGAAACAUGUAAGGAUUAUAGAAUGCAACGAAAUUGAGACUUUGCCAGAUUUGUCGGGAUGUAAGAAGUUGCAUGCUCUUGUGUUACACUGCAUGAAACUCACUCAACUAAAAUUACCUGAAACAAACGCGGCCUGUAGUUGUGAUCCAUGGUAUGAAGAUGUUGAGUGCAUUAUUUUGCGAUAAUAAUGAGGUGAUAAUUCUUAAGCUACAACAAUAAGACGCGUCAUGUUUCCUUAGUAGAGGUAAGCAAGUACGCUAGCAUUUUUUUUUUUCUGAGAUACAUAACCUACUUGUGAUUACUAUCUUCUUUUAACAAGGUCUUCCUUGACAGGUUUUCGUACUUUCCUGAAUUCCAAGUCUCACAUGGGGUAGUUGGUCGUGGAAGCUGACAUGAUGCUUCGGCCCAGAUAAAAUUGUAGAUCCAAGUGUGAUUCUUCGUACAUUAGAAGGCAUCGGUCGUCCGGUAAGAUUCUUCAUCCCUUAACAAUUAGCAUGAGCGAACAGAGUAAUAAUUUUCUCAAGGAUAUAUCAUUUAAGAAUUUUUGCUCAACAUUAGGUAUCGAUUUGAUCUGGAUUUGCCUAAAUAUAUAUCCUAUUGAUUGCAUUAUGGCAAUGUAUUUUCGGCUAUACUUUCAUUGGCAACUUUUGCAGACAGAUUGGCAGCUUGCGAGGCAACAAAUGAAAAUAUCAACAUAGGUAAACAAGAAUUACUAGCGAUUCACAGUUUCCCUCUUGGUAAACCUAAGAUGAAAUUUUUUCAUAAAGAGGCUGAUGAUCUACUACUCAAUAUUAUAAACUGCGCCCAGAUCCCUCUCUCUCUCUCUCUCUCUCUCUCUCUCUCUCUCUCUCUCUCUCUCUCUCUCAAACUAGCAUUUUCCUUAAAAAAAUCCUUGGUCAUUUUGAACUCCUUUUGUGAGCAGUUUUAUGUGUCAAAUUUGACUAAUGGUAGAUAUCCGGUUUAGAACAAACACCUCUCGAUUUUUCGUGAUGAUUGGAAAGCCUGUCAAGUUUCUUAUUGUUCAUUCAAGUAUGAAUUCUGAAUAAGGAAGAGAAACUGAGCUAAAAUAAAAAUCAAGGUUCAAGUUUUUCUGGUGGGUGAUUUAGCAAAAUGAAAAUUAGUUUUGGCUGGCCUGUUUCAUAAAUAUUUGUAGAAAGGCUUUCCAUAACCAAUUGCCGAAGUGUUGGUUUGAAAAAUUAUCAAGUGAAGUAAGUUGGUGCAGCUUUUGUGACAGCUCUGGCUGGUCUAUUUGAUGGUCAAGGCCUACCUUUGUACUUCAAUUCAAAUGACCUAUUGCAUGAUUGGAACAAUUUUUUGCCUGUUGUCUAAAACUAGCUAGGCGUGGCAUUUGUGAUUUUGCUAAUUAGUUUGCAUCCUGUUUGAUCCUGUUGUUGUCGUAGAAUCAUUUCAUUGCAUGAUUGAUCUCGGUUUGGCUAACUUGGCUUAGGAAAUUCAAAUUCCAUACCAGAGACCGAUCAAAAUGAAGAAGAGAGAUUUUGCCAAGGAAUCAUGAACAACAGCUGAGGGCAAGCUUUUGUGCCGACCUUAAAGAGGCUCACAGGCCAACUGGAGUGUCCUGAGGAAGUGUUUUAUACCUGUGAAGAUUAAAGCGCUUGAUCUGGUCUCAAAGGCACAUAACCGAGUGAUUGAGAACAAUUUUUUUUUUUCAAUUGAACCUGCUUUUGGUAUGCUUAUUAGGUUUUACUUAAUCAAGUAUCGAAGUGCUCAAUUUUCUGCAUGUUGCCCUGAUGCAGAGUUCUUUGAUGCAAUUGUGUUCUAAUGAUAUCAUUCCCGAACUCAAUCAGGCUCUGCUGAUAAAGGUAUGCACUGCCUGUCCUACCAUAACUAAUGAGAGAGUAACUUGUCUGCCUAUACUUAAUUGAAUGUGCUUCCUAUAUGCUUGUUAGGUUCUACCUCUCUGUUAAUCAACUACAUACCUACUGAUAUUCUGCGUGUUGACCUGACACAGGUGUCUGAUACUGUAUCGUUCUACCGAUAUCACUCUCAAACACAAUGAGGCUCUGCAAAGGUUGGUAUGCACUGCCAGAUAUACCAUAACUGUGAUAGAGUAACUUGUGCGCUUAUACUAUAUCAGCUGUGGAAUUUCACUGGAAAAUCCAUAAACUAGGAUGCAUGAUGAUAAUAUCCUCUUUUCUGUCAGUUUCUAAUAUCCUUUGCAUGUUGUGAUAAAGGUCUCUGAUACAACGAGCUUAGAUCUCAUGUAUGCGGUGUAGAAUUUGUUAAGUUAAAUGUAGUCUCCUAGCAAACAAUCCCUUAUUGCUGAUUUUGCUUAUUAGAUAUUGCAAAAUAACCAAGUGACAAAUGCAUCUUUCUGUUUUGUAGUUUGGGCACUUCAACUUUUCAACAUCGGUUCUGUUGCCAAGCACAAACAAGGAAGGUGGUGCUAUUUGCUUACUUCUCUCCUCCUAUGUUGUUUUCUUUUUCUUUGCUUGAUAUUGAAGUCUCCGUUGAGUGCUAUCCCAAUGCAAGCUAAUCAGAGACGCGUGUAAUGUGUAGCAAAAACAAUGUCCCCAGGUUUUGGUGUUGACACAAGUAUUUCAUUGAAGAGGAAAUUAAUAGAUCACCAGAAUCUGGACCAGGUCAAAGUAAUCUUGUUUAUAUUAAUGGACUCUCAAGUCUUUGCUUACAACUUUCAGCUAAUUUUGGACGCUCCAUACAAAAUACAUCUAAAAAUAGAAAGAACUAACCAAGGAUCAAUGCAGUCACGCCAAUAUCUCUCGUUGAGAUGAUUGGAAAGUGUAACACAGUUUACUCUCAGCCAUCUCGUGUACCUCAUGCAUCAUCCUCUUUUCUUGACCAUUUUUAACUAGUGCUCUGGUGGAGUUUAGUCAUAAGUCUCAUAAGGUUGAAUUUGCUAGUGUUCGUAACUUUUGAUGAAUAUGAUAAGUGAACCUGAAUUUAUCGUACAAUAAACAACCUGAAACUAUCGUACAUUCUUUUCCUGAAUCUUUUACAAGGUUCAUAUAAAGCUACUAGAAUAAUUAAUUAUUUUCAAACUCUCAUGGGACAACAGCUAUUAGGAAGCCAAUGAGUGUGAGACCCACUUACAAGGUUUAUAUUUGAUGAUGCAGAAACUUUUGCAUGACUUGCCUCGAAGGACACAACCAAGACAAGGCAACAAAAUCUCACCAAGGAAUGAUAAAGGCUGAAAGAAUAAGAGGAAGAAGAACUUUGCGCCAUCUUUUUUGUGAUCAGUCUUUACAACUUUCUGGUUGUGUUUCGUAAGGCUGUUUGAAAGUCUUUGUUCAUGAAAUUUUGAACCCCGUGUUCACUUUCUGGCAAAGAUCUUCAAUUAUUUUUAUAGAAGCCAUUGGUCAUCAUGGUCAAGGAAGAAGGAAAUGAAGCGGAAGAUGAAGAAGGUUUUAUUUGUGCAAUUUUGUUUAUUUCCUAGUUAGUAAUGCCAUAUGCCUCAACUGAGUUGACAACAAAAUGUGCUGAAAAUCUCAGAAAAUCGAAAGAGAAUGUAUUCCAAGUUCGAACACAACAGAAGGAUUGCAGCUACCCCUACUACCAGGACCUUAUGUGGACUCGGCUGCCGCCUCCUCUGUGGUAUAACUGGUAUGAUGAUUGGUUCAUGAAAUAAUUGAUAUAAUGCCAAAGUGCUUAUUUACAAGUCCCCUCUAUUCAUUCAGUAGUAUAAGCUAGCACGAGUUCAUUUUUUCAUUCUCAUAUCAGCAUUAGCAUCACAGAGUUGGGUCUUCCAAUUCCCAAGGAAUUGAAUGUUGUUUUUUGGUUCCUUUUUUUUUUCCUUUGCAGAGUUUUGUACCGAUAAACUGUCAACGCUCCUUGCGAUAGCCUUCGAUGAUUGUGGUGUACACGAUCCCAUCUAGCGCCCAGCCUCUUUCUUCCAAAUUCGUCAGCAAUCGAACGGCUUUCCUAUUAUUGCCGGUUCUGCACAAUCCCCCACCAUGACUCCGCAUGUGGCUAUAUGUCCCCCGAUUUAUCUGGCAACCAUUACAUCUGCCAGGCUCAUGGCUUCGGCAAUUUAAUCCUCUCCGACAAGGCCAUUGAUCGAAGUGUUACAGCGCACGGAAGUGGGUUCAAGUGCAAGUUCGACCAUUUUACACAAAACUGAGAACCCGGGAUCGAAUCUUUUCAAUUGGCAGAGGUAAUUCAUCAAAUUGCUGCGAGUAAAAACAUUGGGAGUCGUUCCUUUCGAAUCCAUCCGCUCGAUCAUGUCAAUGGUGACAUUCGAGCGAAACAGGGAGGUGAAGGCAAAUGGUUCAUCCGAAUCGUCCUCUUCAAGUAGAACAAAGAGUCGGCAGCUUCCACCAAUGCACCAUUUUUGCAUUUGUUCGCCAGAAAGGCCACAGUUCGGAUCAUGCUUUGAAGAUCGGCGCCGUUCUGACAAUUCUGGAGUACAAUAUUAUUUUGUUUCCUUCCCUUCCACCGAUAAAAGGAGAAGACGUCUGGAGCUCGAGAUGCAGCAAAAGGAAAGAGCUCAAGAGAGAGCGAAAAGAAAGAGCUCGAGAGAGUGUGAGAGUCGAGAGAGCUCAGAGAGGCUUUGUGCUGAGUCGAGUCCAUUGAGUUGUUUUGUUAAACACCGUGGGUAUCGGGUAUAAGGGGCUGGGAAACACUUGAGUGCAUGUGUGAUUGUAAUUCUGUAAUUCUCCGAUUUAUAGUGGAUAUAUUUGCUGACUUUCCUCGUGGACGUUGGUUCCGAUAUUCAGACCGAAUCACGUAAAUUUUUAAUGUCCUUAUUUUUCUUGUUCCUCGUUUUAUUUCGAUCGAUUUUUAUAACUCCCGUCAUAAUUGCAAAAUUACAAUCCGCUUCUGUUGCGACACGAUUACAACAGAGAGGAUGAUUGUUAGGCAGUCCAAUCACUAAAAACUUUAGAUGUCUGAUAAUAACAUAGUUUUCAGUUCAAUCAUCGGAAAUUAUUUUGAUUGUCAAACUGAACAUUUCUAGAAAUACUCUAACCGAUUCAUUCCCAUCAGUUUCGCAUUUUGCAGUUUGAUAAGAUGUUUGUCCCGAACACGUGCUUGAAUCUGCAAGGCAGUUGAAGAGAGGUCAGUAUGCAUAAUUAGAAUGGAUCGAUAUCUCACACAACGACGACGACUAAUACUAGUGGAGUCAAAGUAUGGCCUGUCGAAAUAAACGUAUCUAGCCUUAUUACGAUCAGCCAAAAAAAUGAGAAAAUAAUACGAACGUUGCUACUCUUGUCGUUGUGUGCACAGAACGUAUUACAUUAUAUCAAUUUAACAUUUUGUUUUUGGUCUAUUCGAUAUUAUUCCAUUCUACUUUCUUUCCAAUACCUCUCAAGGAAAAUCCCGAAUUGGAUUCAUAAAUUGAUGGGUUAGUGUGAGCUUAUUCAUGCAGUUAUGCACUCUUCCAAUAAGAAUCCAUGUUUUGAAAGAUCCUAGCCUUGAGGCAGGCAUCCUGUCUCAUAUAUUGCAAAAUGACGUCACCGGAAAAAAAUUUAUAUGUAUUUUUGGGCUGGAUGGUUUACAUGUGAAGUACAUAACUUCAUGAAAGAGCAUUAUAUUUCGUUCUUUUCUCCGAUGGCGUAGGUCUGCUUAUUCAGUGCAUAAGCUCUAAACAUGUAAAGACCGUGUUAAUUCACCUAGUUGAAGUGAGUUGAGGUGAGUAAGAGAUGGCUCAGACACCAAUUGGCUGCUAUAUUAGAAAAAAAAAAUGCUAAUGGAUUAAGAAAAAUUGUACGCUGUAAAUCUGGACUGCGAAAUCCAUUGUUUGUCUUUGAUAAUGUGGUUUUGCAAAAAUCGAUUCCAUAACAUGCGCUUAAUCCACAUGCGCAAGUUCCUUGUGAAUCACAAAACCAAUUGCAUGAGUAGUGUCAGGAAAAAAAAUCAUGAGUUAUGACAUUUGAAUGAACGAAAAUGAAAACAUUCUUUUUCCCCACCUUCAAAUUGUCCCCAUUUUCCCAGAGAGUAUAGUUUACAAUUCGUUUCUCAUCUUAAGGAUAACAAUCGUGCAUGAUAGCAAUCGUGCAUGAUAGCGCAAAACAGACGUAGAAUUUUAACCAAUAACUCCUUCUUUUAUGCUUAUCUUAUCAUCAUGUUGUUCAAUUGAGUAAAACACGCGACUAAUUAGCGAUUCCACAGUAUGAGGACAUGGAAAGACAAUAAUUUACAAUUUAACUAGACAUGAAACCGAACGUCACACGGAAAUAAAUUAUAAAAAGAGAAAACUAAUAAUUAUCAAUAAGGGAAUAAGUAUUGUAAAUGAUUCUUUUAUUCAUUUGCUCCCUAACAUAAAGGACCAUUUCAUGAAAGAACAUGAGUUGUCAAGUGUAAUUAAUGACAAUAAAAGGCAAGUCUUUGAGGUGAAGAGACCAUGACAAACGGUCCAUAAUGAAAUGUAAAUAUAUGCCUAGGUGGAGCUUUUUUGGUGGAGAAUACAAUAAAUCCGAGUUUUGCAAUAUGAAUAACACUUCUCUAGUUAUCUUAAAUCUUAUGCGUCAUUAUGGGAAGUGAUGCUUUAGCAAUACUCUGUUAUUACAUGUUUAUAUAGAAUGAGACCAUAUAGAAUUUGUAAUACCCUGUAACUUAAGGAUUCCGCAUGAACGUUUUCAUGGUACAUCGAUUUUUUUUUUCUUCUAGGUUUUGCCGGAUGGGGGAGUCCAGGUAAAAACUAGUUGUGCGAUGUAUGAGUCUUACCUAGAUCAUAAGACAAACUUCAAUUGAUGCAAAAACAACCCUUCACAUCAUUAAGUGGAAAGUAUACAAUAAUAGGUGCAAGAUAGACCCAGCUAGCUAAUUGCCGAUAUAUCUCAUAACAAAUUAGCAGAUAUUUCAAUGGAAAAUGCAUCUAAAAGUGUAAGAACUCAGAGAAAAUCUCAUGGAUCGAUGUAGCAGCAUAAUAGUUGAUUUUUUUGGAUAGAUUUACUUGCCAAAACUUGUCGGAAAAAGAAAUCCUACCCACAUAUGGAAGGUGCAUAUCGCCAGUUUUUUCGUUCGAUAUAUAUAUAUAUAUAUAUAUAUAUAUAUAUAUAUAUAUAUAUAUAUAUAUAUAUAUAUAUAUAUAUUCAGAGAGUGCAUGCAUCUUCCAAUUUUUUUUUUUUUUUUUUGUACAUCCAUGUACUAGAGAUUCUGCAUUGGCAGAUAGAAGAAGCGUUGUGCAGUAAUUUCAAAUUAGGGAAAAGACCAUAAAAAAAUCACAAACUUUAUCUAAAGUGGCAAAUUUACCUCAAUUUUUUUGUUUGUGACAUGAAAAAUCCCAAACUUUGCAAACUAUGACACAUUUACCCCAUCAAUGGUAUUUUCGUUUUUUUUUUCCUAUUUUUUCCUAUUUUUUUCUUUUUUUCUUCUUCUUCUCUCUUCCCUCCGCGGAGGGAAGCCCGUGUCUAGUGAGGGCUGCCCUCGCCGGCAUCGGGGGAGGGUCGCUCUUGUCAAACUUGGGCGAGGGGUGCCCUCGCUGGCACCGAGCGAGGGCCGUCCUCACCCAACGCAGGCGAGGGCGGCCCUCAUCAACCCUAGCUAGCCUAGGCGAGGGCGACCCUCACCCAAUGCUAGCGAGGGCAGCCCUCGCCGAAUGCUGGCUUCCCUCCGCCAUGGCCAGCAGAGGGAAGAGAGGAGAAGAAGAAGAAGAAAAAAUUUAAAAAGUAAAAAAACCAAAAUGUUCUCUAGUUUAGGGUAAAUAUGUUAUAAGGAUAGAAGUUCAGAGUUUUUUGUGUCAUGAAAAAAAGUUUAAGAUAAAUAUAUCACGGUUGGCAAAUUUCGGGUUUUUCAUGUCACAAAAAAAAGUUUGAGAUAAAUGUGUUAGUUUGAGUAAAGUUUGGGGUUUUUGGUGGUUUUUUUCCUUUAAAUUAUUGGGUGAAGUUAUGAAUCCAACAGUCCGAGGAUGGUAUAGAAUAGGUCUUGGAUGAAGAUACUAAUCAACAUCCUUUUGUUCCUAUACGUAUUUUCUAUUGGUUACUUUUUAAGUCAAUGACACGUGUACAGUUGCUACUACAUUGAGCAUUUCCAGAUAUGCAAAGAUUAGUGAAAAUGAUUAAUGUACGUUGUUGGGUCUUGUUUGGUUUAAUUAAUAAGAAACUAAUAAGUGAANNNNNNNNNNNNNNNNNNNNNNNNNNNNNNNNNNNNNNNNNNNNNNNNNNNNNNNNNNNNNNNNNNNNNNNNNNNNNNNNNNNNNNNNNNNNNNNNNNNNAUUUCUUUUUUACUUUCCAGGGGUUUAUACCAAUAAAUUGUCGAAUCUCUUUUUGCUUUGUCAAAAUGUCACAGUCAGCAUUAAAACUGAAUUGCAUUUUAAACUUAUUAUUGAUAAGAAAAUUUGACAGUAGAUUCACUUAUAACGUCUCAGCUAGAAAUGUCCAUCAGUUUUCCGACUCAGCUGAUUGAGAGGGAUGACAGAGUCCUCAUCGCUCAAGUUCUACCUAGAUGUCUGUUAUGGCACUGAAAUUGAAGCGUAGCUGGAGAUUAUUUCUUCAGUGCCAGAGCUGUCAUUGUGUGUCAGCAAUAUAUCGAACUGUCUAGAUUCCAUGCUGAUUGGAUGAUACAACUGUGUUGUCAACAUGGAGUAGUUUGGUGGCACUUCGCAGCUUGAUCUAGGGCUAUUCAACUCGGUGCCAUUCAAUGGAUUUCCACUAAUUUAUGUAAUUCUUGAACGUAUAUUUCCAUGGAAGGUUCUUCCGUGCUUUUCCUCAUAAAUGCUGAGGAAAAUCAAUGCCAUACAUAGCAAUACAUUGCCUCAGUCCCUUCUUUAUAUGAGCUAUUAGAUUGGCUGUUCUAGUUAUGGUUGAUUAGUUUUUGACGCAGCUAUUCACAGUGACGCAGUUCAUGGAGGUUGUAAUUGUUGUUGUCAUAUGGUGAGGACUGCAGGAGACUGUCGAACUACCCAUCUGGUCCCUGAUUUGCUGAAUCAUUAUUACAAUCUUCCAGCUGACAGGAUAAUUGGGCAUCCUAGCAAAUUGUCAGCUGAUCAUUUAAGCACAUGUCGAGAUUUUUGCAAUUUUAGCAAAAUAAUUUCAGACAGCACUAGUGCUUCGAGAAAUCUUGUUGACAUUGGAGAGUUUCUCAAACCUCUUGUUAGAGAUGCUAAAUUCAUUUUUCAAUGACAUGCUUGGCAUCAGUACGUAGAAAUUCAUCUACACUACAUUUAAUAUGAGACUGGUAAAAAUUCUGUUUCUUGAGAGUAUUAGAAAAAACAGGGGGAAGUAGAGUAGAGUGGGACCAUAACAAAUGUUGAUUGAAAGAAAAAUCUAGUGCAAUUCCAGACAAACGUCAUUAGUCGAGAAUGCAGUUCCAAAAUACCAGCCAAAACCGGCAUUUCAUACGUGCAAGUUGCCCUAAAAAUGUCACCUUCAAAUCAUUGCCUAAUCAAUCCAAUGGUCUUUUGCAGCUGGCAGCCUCUCUAUAAAAUUACUUUGCAGGUGGUGACAUCAAGCCUGCGACCUGCACCCUGGAGCCUCCUUCUGUCAUUGCAUUUGAUCAGAUGAAGCCUGCAGCCUCUUUCCGUUAAAUUCAUCAGAAAUCUGACGGCCUUUGCGGUGUUGCACGGCCCCACAGCCAUGACUCACAUUGGCUAUAUAUCCUUUGGCAAACAUUUCAUCCACCAAACUCAUGGCACGGCUCGUGCAAUUUAACCUUUUCCUUAAAACCCAUUGAUCAAAGGGGAAAGCUCACAACAUCUGGUUCGAGUCCAAGCUUGAAGACUACUCAAAACAGAGAACCCAAGAUGAGAUAUUUUCAAGUGGCAAGAGGCAAUUUAUCAUAAUCUUGAGAUUAAGGGUGUGUGCGUCAUUGCAGCAACCUCUGAAAGUUAAAACAUACUAAAUUCUACGGCAAGUUUACAGAAAACAUUGAAAAGACAGUUAAAGGAAAGAGCCGUGCUCAAUCUAUUACUAGGAUUAAUAGCCCAAACAGACGUUAAAAAAGAUCUCAUUGUAGCUUGGCAGAUUCAUUUUUCAUACUCUUAUACCAUCAGCAUCAUAAAGAUUCUUUGCUGGUCUUCCGAUUCCAAUGGAAAUGAAGAGAUAUUAGGCAGGCAUGCCUUAAUUCCCUCAUGGACUGCCUAAAUUUUCUAAAUGCAUGUACCUUUUUAUCUUCUGCAAGUUGGAAAAUGCUAAAUCUAUAGCAAGCUUCUAGUGAAACACAGCUAAGGAUACGAACCAUGACACAAUCCACUACAAAGAUUAAUAGCCUGAAGGUUCAAUGAGAAAACAGAUGUAAGAAAGAGCUCUUGUUGUAGUUCGGUGGAGUUCUGAAGAUGGUGAUGAACCUACGUGAGUUUCAUUGGCAGGAGACUCAUAGAUGACGCAAUGUGGACCGGUCAUGUUUGUGUUAGUGUUCUCUCAAGUCCAUGCAUACAACUUUCAGCUAAUUUUAGAGUCUUCAUACCCAAUAUAGCCAAAACAGACAGAACCAUGGAUCAAUGCAGCCGCUCCAAUCCUCUCUCAUCGAGAUAAGAUCUCUCUACCAUCAUAUCGUGCAACCAAUGCAUCGCCCUCAAUUUCUGACCAUUUUUAACAAGUGCUCGGGUGGAGAGUGUCCCUUCUCUUUCAUUUCCUGAAGCAGCUCAUAGGCAUCACUCAUUCGGUUGGCUUUACAUAGCCCUGCAAUUAUAGCACCAAAUAACAAAGCAUCAUGUUGCGAACCUUUCUCAGGCAAAGCACUGAAGAGUUCUAUAGCAUCUUCAAGUUUCCCUGCCUCACAAGCCGCUAAUAAGGGUGUCAUAGCUGAUGAUAUGGACAUUUCCAUCUUCCACUUGUCUAUACAAAGCAAUUGGCUAGUGAACCUGGUGACAUUACAAAGAUCAUCUAACAUUGUUGAUUGUUGUUGAUUUAAAUGAUCGCAACUAGCUAGAAUUUUGUAAAACAAAUGCGCAACCCAAGGCAGUUCAAUGGAGAAAAAGCCACCCCCGAGAUAGUUAUAGGUAGCAACAUCAGGGACUGAUCCAUUCUCUAACAUUCAUGAAUCAAUGUUAGACUGGUUGUGGGAGAAAGCGAGCAGUUUUGUGCAAUCAUCAAAUGAAAUGUAGCGGGUGCAUCAUCCAUCUAAUUUUAAUAACAGUAACCACCAAGUAAUGAAUUAUAUGCAACUAGGUCGGCGUAAAUCCUCCUCAGAUCAUCAGAUCAAAGAUGCACUUUGCCUUGGUAGCCCUGCCCACCCCACUUUGCAAAGUGCAUCCACAAUGAUACUGAUGGUUCGAACAUCUGCCAUCGUUCCUCUUUGCAGCAUCUCAGUUAACGCAACUGAAGCCUCUUCCCAGUGGCCACCACAGCAUAGGCCUUCGAUUAAGGAGUUACAAGUGAAAACAUGUGGCCAGAUUCCAUUGCUCAUCAGCUUGUCCAACAAAACCUUUGCUUCUUUCCAUUAACCUAUGCAAGUUGAGCAAGGGAUGACAUUUGGGCAUCAGGCAUAGUAUUAUAGAACUUCAAAGCCUCUGUCCCGGUGCCUCCUAUGAUCGUGGUAUACAUGAUCACAUCUAGCUCCCAGUGUCUUCCAAAUUCUUCGGCAAUCGAACGGUUUUCCUAGCCUUGCCGGUUAUGCACAAUCUGUCACUAUGGCUCCACACGUGGUCAUAUCUACCUUGAUUCAUCUGACCAACAUUUCAUCCGCCAAGCUCGUGGCUCCGGCAAUUUUACCAUCCUCAACAAGCCCGUUGAUCAAAGUGUUAAAGGUCACACUUGUGGGUUCUAGUGCAAGUUCGUCCAUUUAAAUUGGCGGAGGCAACUCACCAAAAUGCUGCGAGUAAAAACGACGGGAGCCAUUCCCUUCGAAUCCGUAAUGCUCCGUCUUGGCCACAACCCCCAGGAGUUGGGUGGAAACAUGGAGGUGAAGGCAAAGGGUUCAUCCGAACCAUCCUCUCCAAGUAGAAUAAAGCAUCGUCGGCUUCCUCUGAUCCCGCCAUUUCAGCAUUUUUUUUUCGUCACAAAGGCCCCGCAUUCAGGUCGAUCCAUUGAAUUUCCUUACUCCAGCAGUGGUCGCGCAAGUGCGAGAGCAACGUGAAGGCAAACGGAUCGAGGGAGGGACGAAGGUGUGGACGGUGUCCAUCACUCUGCCACCUUCGUGGAGCGCGUACGGGAGGUGGGCCUUCAAACUGGCAUUAUAUCCUUUUUCGUUUUUCACAUUAUAUUCUAGAUUUUUAUUUUUUAUCUUUUCGCAUUAUACUUUAGUGGCAUUUUCAAAAGAAAUUCUUACCUUAUCUAUAAAUUUCAUCUACUUAAUAAUUUAUCCAUAAAUUAGAUUGACAAUGUAGAAAAGAACUAGAUUUCUUGGAAAUUUCUCUUUUCAACUAAAUAAAUGUUUAUGAAAGUAAUAUCUAACAAUAAAAAAAUAGUGUCUUUAUUACACAUGAAAAAUCUACAAUAAACAAAAAUUACAUAUACAUAUGAAAUUCUUAAUUAUGGUAAGGAGAUCUUACAUAUAUAUAGAAAAACUAUAAAAAAAAAGUAAAUAAAUUUGGGACCACCAAUUUGAAUUGCAAUUGAAAACAGAGUGCAAUUUUGUCUUCUUAAUGAAAACGGAGUGGAUUUAGUCAUAUAAGGGUAGAAGUAGCACCGCCUCAAUAAAUUGCAAAGAAAGAAAAAACAACUCACUAGACGUAUCUCUUUAGAGCCUAACCAAGUGCAGUUGGGUGAAAUCGUUCUGAUUGCGAAUUGCACUACUGCGCCAUUCAAGCAGCUGGUUGAGCCUUGCUGGAGCCUAGGGCAAAAAUCUCAGUCUGUUCCUUUAAACAUCUGUUCCAUGUGAAAACUCCAAAAUUGCGUCGGCACUAGAUCUAUUUGUGCUCGAGCUCGAGAUACUAAUCCAAAUAAAAAGUUCAAAAGGAGUUUUGGGUGCUUGGAGUUAAUGUGCUAGCUUUCAUUGAACACUCUCGAGGAUCGACUGAACGUUCGGAGGAAAAAAAACAUGAAGUACUGUUGUUGAAGUCAACCAAAGCCAUACGGGAUUUUUUUCUCACCAUCUUCUACUAAUUAAGGGUCUGUUUGUUUGUGUUUCUUUUUUUUGUUUUUCAACACUUUUUCUGUUUUUUUGUUCCUGAGAACAAAAAAGGAACAGAAACACGUUUGGGUGCGUUUCUGUUCCUUUUUUGUUCUUUUGUUCCCAGGAACAAAAAAGAAACAGAAAUAAGAAACAACAAAUUUGUGUUUCUUAUUUCUGAAACAAAACUUAGAAACUCUUUUUUAUUUUCUUCUUCUUUUUCUUCUUAUUUUCUUCUUCUUAUUUUCUUUCUUUUUUCUUUCGCCGGUCGCCGGCUCGGCAUGGCGGCGACCAGCCGACGAGGGCCGGCGGCCGUCCUCGUCGGCUCGCGGCCGCUGGGCGAGCUCAGCCUCGCCGGAUCUGGGCGAGUCGGCGUCGCCUGGCGGUGGCCUGGCAAGGCCGAGCUUGCCAGCCGCUGGGCGAGCUCGGCCUCGCCGGAUCUGGGCGAGAUCGAGCUCGCCCAGCCAAGGCGAGGCCAAGCCUCGCCGGGGNNNNNNNNNNNNNNNNNNNNNNNNNNNNNNNNNNNNNNNNNNNNNNNNNNNNNNNNNNNNNNNNNNNNNNNNNNNNNNNNNNNNNNNNNNNNNNNNNNNNNNNNNNNNNNNNNNNNNNNNNNNNNNNNNNNNNNNNNNNNNNNNNNGCGACCGGCCCAAAAGAAGAACAAAUAAAAAAGGAAAAAUAAAAAAAAUUAUACAAAUUAUACAAAUUUACCAAACGUGUUUUUGUUUAUUUUUUAUUCCCGGAACAAGUUUACCAAACGCGUUUUUUUGUUCAAAAAUUGUUCCCCGGAACAGAAACACUUUUUUCUAUUUCUGUUCCCUGGAACAAUUUUUAAACAGAAACGCAAACAAACGCACCCUAAAUGAUCAGUUUCAAAAGGGGAGUCAAACAGUAUUUGUCGACUUAUAAGAUGCAAAACGAUAUGGCGCCAAUAUUAUGCAAAACAUCGAGGUGGGCACCGACUUAGAUUUUUUUUUUUUAAGGCGAUGUAUAUUAUACAUUUUAUUUUCACGUCAAAAUUUAAAAGAAAAUUGUUUAAAUUUCAAAAGAUUAUAAAUUAAAUGGGAGUUUAGGUGUCCUACGGCGAGGGUAGAAAAUGGACAAAUUGCGCGAAUGCAUAAUUUAAUAAAUAGAAAAAAAAACUAAAAUAAUUAAAAAGCCAAUCUAGACACUAAGUCGAUUGAUUUGAUACACAGGAACUAAAAGGAUCAAAGCAAUUCGUCUAGGCAACGACUAUGACCAUUUUUGGGCAUACGAAAAUGAAUAGCUUAAAAGGUUACAGAGCCAAAGAUGACAAGUACCAAAUCUAGAGCAAAAUGGUGAAAACUCUUUAGUAUUCCAAAGCAAUACCAAUUCCAAUAAGGCACUAUUGAUAGAGAAAGAAGAAUACCAAAAGAAGCUUGGCAGUACGUGAGACAUCAUGUGGAUGAUAGCUAAAGCUUCAGUCAAGGUGCCACAAAGAUGUUGCUACGGAAUAUUCAGGCAGAAAAAUAUAGAUACACAAGCUGUCAUUUAUGGAUACAGGUAUAUCUUGACAAACAGCUCUUCAGAUGCAUGAUAACCAUAAAAUCUCCUUGCUCAUACAAGGCUGCAACCAUGCAUAUGUUGCCGUUUUACGCCAGCAUUGCCUUUGAGCUGCAGUAACUCACAAAACAAUCCUUUCAGAUACAAACUAGCAAGUGAAUCGCACAAUAAGUUAAAGCCAGGACUUAAUAUUUUCAAAGAAUGACAAAUUAUACCUUCAAGGCUUUCUCCAUGGCUAGAGAGACAGCAUUUGUAAAUGCAUCCCCUGUGCAAUUCAACAGUGACCAAUUAAUUCCAAGCCAGUAGCAGAACAGUAAGAGACUAGUUUAAAAAGGGACAUGAAUUCGAAAUAUAUAAAAGCACGAAUAAUUCAAACAAAUUGAGAUAAAGUCUACAGCAACAUUAUAUUAUGAGGACAUUGACAAAAACUGGUCAAGUAAAACCACAGCCAUGUUGCCAAAAGAACAUAUACCCUGAAAACACACAAGCUACAUGCUAGAGGUAUUGUGAACUGAGAGAAACGUUGAUUAAUUUCUUCAAACCAGGAUAUGCACAAAGCAGCCUAUGCAUCUGUACCACGCACAAGUACCUUCAGACGUUGGAUGGAUAGGAAUAUCUGUACAUGGUACAUACAAAUAGGGUAAAGCCUACAAGAAAAAAAAAAACAUAAUUUAGAACCAGUAUGAAAAAAAUGUACAAGAUAUUGCUGUCUCAUAAGCUAUGCCAUGGACAAGCAUCAUGUAUUUUUCACAAUAGAUUGCUUGGAGCCACGUAAGCUCCUCAUUUGUUAUUUAGACAUUCAACUAGUGUCCAGCCAGUCAAAGAAAGUAGACUAUUGCCAAUAUGGUGCCUCUUGCGAGCAGAAAGGGGAAGAAACUUUCUGCAUCCUGAAAUUGCCUUUUAUCUUGUAGCAUAUACAUCAACUCAUGUCUGUAAACCCAUGCUGGUUUAAAUUCUUCAUCGGCAGAAAGGAAGUUACUUUCAUUGCUCCACAGCUCAAGGGGGGUAAAGCAAGUACUUGGAACAAUUAAGAAACUACAAAUAAACGAGGACUACACUCACCUUAUGCACAUGUGAGCAAGUUUUUGACCAGCAGGAGUUGAACCAUCUACUCUUAUUACAGGAACCUCAUUCACUUUUUCACCUUCAUCAAUCAAUCAUGAACAAGAUUAUGAACAUACAAAAGUAAAUAUUUGUAGCUAAAUUUCUAGCUACUGUAUAGUAAAUGUAACUGUUAUUUUUGCAGGUUAAAGGUCAAAUCCUCGCACAGAAUUUUAAAGAUUGACAUGGCACUACGCCACAUAAAAACUGUAAGUGCACCUUCUUCUCUUUGCAUCAGCAACAAAAAAGCGAAUUUCAAAUACGUCAUCAUCAAGACAACUACGCUCUCCAAACAAAAAGUAAUCUUCAGUCUAGGGAAGAAGACGGUGAGUUGAACAAUGCCCACCAAAUAUUAAGAAAAAUAUUCAAUACUCUCUGGAUUUUCUAAGCAACCAAACCAAUCAUGUAAUAAAUUAUCAAGACACCAAUGUGCUGAUUCCAUGACUCUGUGCUACAAUUUUAAUCAAUCCUUACGUAUAUCCAUGCCAAGCAAUUACUUAACAUCAAUCCAGCAGCCCCAACAAGAAGUCUGAAUAAGACAUCCACGGACAAACUGAUAAGUUCUUCAUAACAGAACACUAAGCCAAGCAUAAUCCUUGCACUCAUAAGAAAGCAAACAAACUUUUGUCUGCAAUGCAGUAACUGAUUAAGUCCUACUAUAGCAAACAAAAUUAACAGCUUCCAGAUUCAAACCACAAGCUUCUCUGGCAUUUGCUACUCACCACUAGAUUCCAUAAUCAAAGCAGCGAACACAAAAAUUAUGCUUCGAAAGAUGAGAGCAGACUUUCAUUCUUUUUUUUUACCGAAGACGCUUUACAUACAUUUUAUUACAAUAAAAACAUAGAAUAACUUCAAAAGCAUCGCUGUUCCUAGGAGAAGACAACAUCAAGACCCAUUCUAAGACUCCAAUUAAGCCACAGCUCUAGGAAGCAGCAAGACCCAACAACAUUACUGCGUGGCAACUACCUAUUACCAUCACGGGCACAGUAAAAAAACGAGUCUUUCCAUCUGUUUUCGUGCUUCCCCUAAUGCCCAUAUUCCACAGUCUCAUUCUUUUCUACUAAAGACACGUUAGAUACAAAUUAUUACUAUGAAAACAUAGAAUAACUUCAAAAGCACCGCUGUUCCUAGGAGAAGACAACGUCAAGACCCAUUCUAAGACACCAAUUCAGCCACAGCUCCAUGAAACGGCGAGACCCAACAACGUUCCCACCCGCGGCUACCUAUAACCAUCGCGGGCACAGAAAAAGAACGAGUCUUUUCCAUCUGUUUUCCCGCUUCCCCUCUGGGAGAAGACAAUAUCAAGACCCAUUCUAAGACACCGAUUCAGCCACAGCUCCAUGAAAAGGCAAGGCCCAACAACGUUCCCACGCCGCGACUAUACAUAACCGUUACGGGCACAGUUAAAAAACGAGUCUUUUCCAUUCUUCUCCAAGCUUUUUCUAAUUUUUUCCCUCUCGCUUGCUCUCGUGCAGUGCAGUAACGGAACCCCGGAACAGGAAAAUGGAUCGAGAAAACUCUUUGGGCCGAUGAAUCAUUAUAAGUUACCUCGGAACGAUUAUUUUACUACUGUCAAAUAUAAUGAUAAAUUCCGACCAAAAGAAAAUUUUAAUGAUGGAUUCGGUCAAAAAAAUAUUUGAUGAUAGAACAAAAAUUGGCUUUAAUUUAUCUUAUUAAUUGGUUUUAUAUACUAAGUAAAUGCUAACAACAAUGUUCAAUUAGAGAUAUUAGUUAUUAAUAACUCAGCAACCAAAUUACAAUUUUAUAACUUUCAAAAAGAUUAAAGAAAUAAGAGUAUUGGAAAUAUUAAAAUUUUCAAAAAGCACAAUCAAAUUAGAAAAUUUAUCAUAAAUGUACAAUUGAGUUUUAAAAUUUUAAAAAAUACAAUCAAGUCUUAAAAUGAAUUAAUGACUUUAAUAUGAAUUAAGAUUUGUGUAUCAAUCUUACCAAAAAAAAAAGAUUUGUGUAUCAAUCAAAUCAAAACUAGUUCAUAAAUUAAUUAAAGAAAAAUUGUGGAUCGCUUGAAUUAGGAUGUGUAACUUCAUAAAAGAAUUAAUGACUUUAAUAUGUUGACAACUUGUACGACUAAAUAUUAUUAAAUUAUUAAAAUGAACAAUAAUUUUGGAAUAAUCAAACAAACCCCAGUAUUUUUUAUGAAAAUUUGGGUACAAACAUGUCACAAGCCAAGUACAUGGCUUAUCUUUUUUUCAACAAAUUGUUACUAAACAAUAUUUUUGAACUUACUGAUACGGAACAAUCAGUGGUCCUCAUGUUCUGUCUCUUGCUUCCAUGGAGUUCUCGGAAUAGACAUUUUCUCUGUUCCGACAGCAACUCACCACCACUUUCGAGAAGAUAAUAAUUUAGUCGGACCUAAGCGUGGCAGGGAGGAAAAACUAAUAUCCGUCAGCUUGCGUGCUGCUACGAUAGGGCAUGAUUGGUUCUAUUGUAUUAUUUCGCAAGAGAAGUCAUCUGCGAGUUCUUUCUCUUUGCUCCUCUCUCUCUACCCUCCCUCUCUCUCUCCGACGAAAAAGAUCGCGACCUCCCUCCCUCUCUGCCCUCCCUCUUUCCGAUCGGCGAACCACCGCACGGGACCGGCGAACCACCGCGCCGCCCCUCCGGCUUCAGAUCCGGCCCCGACUCGUCUGUCCCUUGCUCUUUCUCUCCUCUCGCGUUUCUGUCUGCCCUCCCUCUCUUCAACGGCGAACCAGCGCGUGACAGCGAACCUGUAUUUUCUCCUUGCGGAGAAGCAACGAAAAUAUCUUUGAAGUCUACAGCGAGGUAGUCUUACCGAUUUCGAGGAAGGAAGGUUUGUUUCGUUGGUCUUGGUCAAGAAGGUGAGGGUAAAAAAGCAGCACAAUUGCUGCGUGAAAAGACGAGCAAUCUUGUCGCGCCAUCCUCUCCACGGGAUUGUGCGUCUCCUUCGGGGCAAGAGGUUCGAAGUAAAGCUUUAUUUAAAGUCCCGAGUGCUCGUGACCCAGUAGCAGAAACGUCAAUCACCGUAAGUCACUUGAGACGCUCCUCUUUCGCUCUGAGAUAUUUGCCUUGGAUAGCUCUAGAUUGAGACGUGAAGGUGAUCUCAUAAUUGUGCUGCUUUUGAGGCUCGGACACAAUUUGAUGUGCUUUAAGGGAACUCCUUUUGAGACAUUAAAGCCCAUCCGAGGAAUUCCGUCUCUGCAUCACUCCUCCGGAUGAGCCGGACAGUCUAUUACAUUUUGAUAGAACAAAAUAAAGGCAUUUGAUUAUUACUCAUUGAAUGACAUCUAACAUCCUUAAAAGCAUGCACAAUAUAACAUGUGAAAUUCCAUCUGACUUUUUCAAAAUCACCGUCGUUACAGUCAUUGUAGAUUUUUCUUACUACCUUCCCCUUAUUCAAACUGAUCGGUAUGAGCCUCUCUCUUGCAGAACGAUUCAAGGCUAUCAUCUACAGUCCUCGCUCACUUUCUUUGUUCAUUUCCCUCAUAAAAGUUCUCGGCGAGGCUUGUUUAGGGUCUUCUCUCUCCGAACUCGCACCUCUCUUUGCAUCUCAGCGCGUAGAAGGUAAUCGCUUUUUCAUCUCUUAUUAGUGUGUCAUUUCUGUUGAUUUGUUGCAGCUGAACUAGCGUGUUUUGGGCUCUCUGUCUGAUGUGGGUGGCUGUUAACUUGGUGCGUCACCAGCUUAUAAUUGACUUCCGUAGAAAAGGGAAGCUUUUGCUUUCAGACUUUAGAUGUGACUAAUCAUGUGGCCUCUGUCUCAUCGUUCGUUUGCAUCGUAACUUAGUGUCGAUCCUUUGUCGAGCUAGAAUGAGUUGGAAUGCGAGACGCGCUAGAUUCUAUUGCGCGCAAAAUUGCUAGUAUUCGCCUAAAGCCAAGGACCGUCUUUCUACGGAUUGUGAGGUUUCUUUGUCCCUGAAGGUCUAAGAUCAAUCAAAUAAAAAAUGAAAUAUAAAAGAAAAAGUAGUAGGCCAGUUCGCGGCAAGUUCCAACAUCAGGGGGGUUCGAUUUUCAAUUCCGAAAAUUGAGAACAUGCUCUGAUAGGUAGGUUUCAGGGUUUUGGUCCAGAAUCUACACACUCUGUAGCCAAUCACCCAUAAAAGCAAGUACUCUCUUAAUCAGAUUUUAUUCACAAUUUUGCCUUAGACAAUUAUAGGACAUUCUAGACGAAUAGUUUGUUGUCUUCCUCGAAUUAUUGGACUAUAUAAUCCUAAAAAGUAUAUUGCCUUUCACCUCUAACUCAUUUUCUUCCUUCAAAGUUUUGAAAAUUGACGAAGUUAGUUACCCCAAAAAAGGGUAAAAGGAGGUUGAAUUGAGUAAUGAAAAAGUAUAGUUCACACGCAUAAACAAUAAUAACUAUUAUGCAAAGGUUAGAGCAUUUUUAACUCUAUUGCCACUUUCUCGAACAAAAUAUCUCCGUUGCUACUUUUUACCUGCUCUCAAAUCAGUGAUAGCUUCAGUCAUCAUCACAAUACAAGACAUACCAAAAUCAAUGGUAUGAUGCUUCUUAAGAUCUUUUAUGUUAGAGAAAAAUAAACUAAUUGAUCUUUGACAUAUGCACAUGAAGACAUUUCAAAAAAAUUGAACUAUACAUGUUUAUUAGGACACUCACUCAGCUUUAUAUCUCUCAUAUCUUUCACCUUUUUGCUACAAACUAUAAGUUCAUUCAUUAAAAUGUAAUUAAUCAAUUUAAUCUGACUUAUCACGAAUUUAGCCGAUAAUCCUAUUCUACGUCCAUUUAAUUGGAUUAAAAAAACUUUGCGAUGAUAUUCUCAAGGUGGACCCUCGAGGAAAAAGGGGGCACUAACUGAAGGUCAUUCUUUUCAAACCUUGGUCCUCUCUGAAUUUUCCUCAGCAGUUUUGCUUUAUUUUCUUCUCUUCUGCUCCUCCUUCGAUCAAAUCAUGACCUAAUUUCAAGUUGUUCAGACUAAGGCAAAGUCAGAGCAAGGCAAACAAAGGGAUGCACCGUAUCGCUUCUGGUCGUUCCUUUGCUAUGCUCGUUGCACUGAUUCUUUUCUCUAUGCUUGUAUUCUAUCAUCUCAAGAGGAAGAAUGUGAGCGCAGAAAAAGAGAGCACUAAGGAGCAUUCACUUCUUCUUUGGUGUCGUCUAAUGAAUGACAGUUCUAUUCUACAGAUAAAAUGAUGAUCAAUUAUUUAAAUUUCAAAGUUUGAAGAGAAUAAUUCAGUGAUGUUACAUCAGGUUAAAGUGGAUUCGUUUUGCUUGACAUUUCUAAUACGUAAAACUCAUUCAUUAAAUAUUGUGUACAUUCGGAAAUCAGGUGCUUUCUAUCUAGCCUUUUCACUUGUUUAUCUACAUCUUUUAGUGGAACAGGAAGGCAUCUUCUCUUCAUAAAUAUUUUAGUGUUAGUGAUCGUUUCAAAUGCAUGUGCUCUCCACCAAGAUUACGAGCCUUGACUAUAGAGCACGCAUGUAGAGAUGAAGACUAGCCAUUGUUUUCUUGUCCAUGAGUGGACACAACCCAAUGAUGUUGCCAUGACGAGAAAGCGCGGUCCAUUGGAAAGAAAAGAUGCACGCCUAAGUCAAUAACUUUUACUAUUCAAAAUUAGUCAACAGACUGACUUGAUCAUUAAACAUUUUGGAUUCGAAAUCGUUCAGAAAUCAUAUGCUCUCCUCCCAAAAAGCACGUGCUCUGCCUUUUCAUUUGCUUAUCUACUUCUUCUUGUGCAGCAGGUUGGCAUCCUCUCUUCAUUGUUGUCUAUAAGAUUUCUAUGGGGAAAGGGCAAAGUCUGAGCAAAAUAAUAAGAAAAAGAAAAGGAGCGCAAAAAAAAGGAGCAGUAAGGGAGAAAGAGAUCACUGAUGGAGCAUUUGCUUCUUCGUCCUUACCUUCCAUACCCACGGGAGGAGGUAGCGAUCAAUACGAUGUGUUCUUGAGCUUUAGAGGCUCCGACACUCGCAACGAAUUUACCGAUCACCUCUACCGCAGUCUGAUCAGUGUAGGGACUGUACCAAUUUCUGU